GAUGAAGAAGUUGGAAACUCUUGAUUUCUCAAAAAACAAGUUGAGCGGGAGCAUCCCUCCAAGCAUGGCAGCUUUGACUUUUUUGAGCCAUUUGAAUUUGUCACACAACAACUUGUCGGGACAAAUUCCAACAGGAAAUCAACUGCAGACGCUUAUUGAUGAUCCAUCAAUAUAUGCUGGGAACAAACAUCUAUGUGGACCUCCAUUGCAAAACACUUGCUCAAAUCAUCAAGAUUCAACAACAACAACAAGCAAGAAGAAACACAAAGCAGCUGAUGAGAAGAUGGAGGUAUGGUUGUUUUAUGUGGAUAUAAUGAGUGGUUUUGGAACAGGGUUUUGGGGUGUUAUUGGAGUUCUGAUGUUCAAGAAGCAGUGGAGACACAAACUUUUCAUGUUUGCUGAGGAAACCAUGGAUAAGAUAUACGUUGCAGUUGUGGUAAGAGUUGCCAAGUUCAAGAGAGGAAGAGAAUAGCUGCAUAGAUCAUGUGGAAUGCAAGUAGUUCUUGAAUGCAUGUUAUCAGUGAUAGUUUUGCUUUUGAGAUAUGCUUAUUCUAAUGUAUUACUAUUUGGAUUUUGUAUUUGUAUGGCCUUUGUGAUAUCAGUGUUGUUUAGAGGUGCUAAUUUACAAAAUUUCUUUUGGAUUUGGUAUUUAUACAUGAUCAAGUUGUAGAUUUAGAUUACUAUGUAUUUGAGUUGUAGAUUUUUUUUUUCUUUUUAAUUCUCGACCUUCUGCUGCUGCUCUCACUCCCAACAUGCUGUUGCAUCCCUCGGUUUUCAUCUGCAUUGGUCCAAGUAAGUAAGAACCAUGUAAUUGACUCAUUAUUUAUUUUCUUCAUUUGUAAAAUUUCUAGUUUUUCAUGUAUAGAAAGAGGAUGUUUGGGUGAAAGGUGGAGUUUUUUUUUUGUUGGAUUUGGUUUUUAGAUAAGACUAUGGUCUAGUAUGAAUCUGCAAUGGCAGUGAUCUUGGUUGAUUGUUUUAUUAUAUUCUCAUGAGAUUGCAAGUUAUGAGAUUAGAUUAGGGUUAAUUUCAUAUUUUUGUGUUUGUUUGUAUGGUGUUCACUCUAUACAGACAAUCACUCUGACCAACAUGAAAUUGUAUUGUAUGUAUUUGUUGCAUUAAACUUGUGGUCCAUUUUACCCUUCCUGAAGAGUAGGUUGGUUUUGGAUAGGAUAGGAUAGCUAUGUUUUUCUCAUCAUCAUUUAUGUUAUGUAAUCCUCCACAAGGCAUAUCAUCAUUGACAAUAGAUUUAAAGAGGGUCAUAAAGUCACUUCUGAUACUAUAUUAUUUCUAAGUUUAUGAUAUUUUGUCAGUUUUUUUCAUUUUGGAUUUUUCUUGACCCAUCCCCCUUUCUACUUAUGUGUUUUAAGUUUUUCAUAUAUUGUAUCAUGCGUAACCUUGUUCUUUACUUUANCUUAAUUUAGAUCAUUUUGAGUGCAUCAUCGCAUGGUUCUUCAUGAUUGCUCCUCUCCUCCAUUAAACCAUGUUAAUUACUAGUGAGUUUUGUUGUGUACUUUGAAUUGCUUCAAGUGGAUAAAAUAUUUUGCCUGAACCAUAUAAUUUGAAAACACAUUGUCUAAUAUAUACCACAGCCUGAUUAAAUAAUAAACACAAACAAAUAAAUAAAAUGAAUGUUGCAUUCAGUUAAAGGAGCCCAAUGUUUAAGGUUUAAUACAGUGUNUAAUAAUAGAACAAAUAUGUGAACUUUGGGGGCUACUUUAUCGACUUCAAAUUCAUAUGUGAGGUCUACCGUGAAAGUAAUUAGACUUCUUAUGAAUAGAUUUGACUAGUUAUCCUCAAAAAAGCAUUUUUGUUCCAAAACAAUAAAAGAAUUUGUUGCAAUUUUGGUGGUUAUUUUGAUGUUUUAUAGCAAUUUUGGUCAUGUUCCAAGUAAAGUUACCAUCUUACCCUUUAUCUAAAAAUAUUGUAAGUUCAUAUAUAUUAAAAUNNNNNNNNNNNNNNNNNNNNNNNNNNNNNNNNNNNNNNNNNNNNNNNNNNNNNNNNNNNNNNNNNNNNNNNNNNNNNNNNNNNNNNNNNNNNNNNNNNNNNNNNNNNNNNNNNNNNNNNNNNNNNNNNNNNNNNNNNNNNNNNNNNNNNNNNNNNNNNNNNNNNNNNNNNNNNNNNNNNNNNNNNNNNNNNNNNNNNNNNNNNNNNNNNNNNNNNNNNNNNNNNNNNNNNNNNNNNNNNNNNNNNNNNNNNNNNNNNNNNNNNNNNNNNNNNNNNNNNNNNNNNNNNNNNNNNNNNNNNNNNNNNNNNNNNNNNNNNNNNNNNNNNAAACUAGGUGUGAGACCCGUGUAUUACACGAGUUUAUUAAAAAUAAAAAUUUAAUAUCAAUAUUUAAUCAUUAAAUAUUUUAUAAAAUAAUACUUUUACAUAACAUAAUAUAAUCUUUUGUAAUAUUUAUAAAAGAAAUCAAAUAUUCUUUAAAGCAUUUAUUAGACUUUAUUAUCAAAUUAAUAGAAUCACUACUAGAAAAACAGCCUUUUACGACGCUCAUUGCGCGUCGUAAAAGGCUCAGACGACGCGCAAAUGCGCGUCAAGGAAGGCCAUGUCAUAAAGAGAGACGACACGCUUUUGCGCGUCGUCUAUAGACGACGCUCAUUUACGACGCGCAAUUACGACGCGCGUUUACGAUACGCAAUGCGUAUCAAGGAAGGCCCUGUCAUAACGGAAGACGACACGCAUUCGCGUGUCAUUACCUUACGACGCGCGUGUUAAUGACACACACAUUUUUGCGUAUCAUAAUUUUAAAUGUUUAAAAAAAACAUUAUUUAUAGAUUUACUUAUUUUCAAAUUAAAUUUGUAUUUAAUGUUUCAUAAUAGAAAAUAAAAUAUGAUAUACAAAAAAUAGAAUCCAUUGCAUAAAUUUAAUGUCAUACAAAAAAUAGAAUCAAUUGCAUAAAUUUAAUGUCAUACAAAAAAUAGAAUCCAUAGAAAAAACCAAUUAGUCCAACAACUAUAGGCAAAUUUCUAACUUCUAAUGCAGUUCCACUUGGUUGAUAUUCAAUUCCAUCAACUACCCCUAGCCAUAGCAAGCACAGAAUCACAGUUGCCAAUGUUACAACUCCAAAAGCUGCUCAAUAAAACCUCUAGAAUUAGUCCCUUUAACUCAGCCAAGGGUAUAAAAAGAAAAUUACUGAAGGAUAUAUAAAUUAGAACCUGAAAUAUAAGAGAGUAAACUGAGGUUUCUCAACCAAACUGUGGAAGCAAUCCCUUCUCAGAUCUUUAAAUGCAUCCUAAUAGAAUACAAUAAAGUUACUAUUCUAAGAUUGCAUCAUUUACCUUAAUCUAUGACAUUAUUAAUGUGAAAGAAAAACAUUUUUGUUAUAAAGAAAAGUCAAAAAGAAUUUUUUUGUUGAUAAAUAACAGUCUAUAGGAAUAAAAGAGCAUACUACACGGAAGGGUGUUGGUUCCUUUUAUUGAACACCAUGGGAUUCACCACUUGUGCCCCAGUAGUGCAACCUGUUUUCACAUUGGGAGUGAAACCAGGAAAAAAAUCUGUAAUCUUCUUAUUUGUGACUGUUUUAGGGUUCUAAAUCACAGAUCUUUAGUUUACAGUCAGAAUUAGCAAGAAUGUUUUUGGGUUUUAAAUCUCAAUGAAACACAUUUGCUGCACACAUGACAAACAAUCAAACACAAAAGUAUACGUAUCUGAUGCAUAUAUUUGCACAUUCAUACAAGUAUUUGUAGGUAUCAGUCACAAUACCACAAGAACAUAUAUCUUAUCAAAAGUAUGGCCAAUUGACAACAUAUCAACCACACAAAAUUUAUCAAUCCUAAGGAAUUUGAACGGAAAUCAGAUGAGAAGAAAAAACUUGGAAGAGAUUGUUGAGAGAGUGUAAGAGGCAAAAUUGUAAAUUCUAUUUUUCAUGAGGCUGUGCAAUUAAGCUUUUAUCUUCAUAUCAAGUACAAAAAAAAAAGUUAAAAAGAUGUUAUUUAGUGUGUUAAAGGAGUGUAAAAACACAUAUACCUCAACAAAUGAUAACCCUUUCAAUAUAUUUGACUUGUAUGGUCCAAAAUACCCCUGACUUCUUAUCAUUUUAGUUAUUUGGUUUCGAACAGAUCUCCUAACAUUACCAAAAACCAACUGCCUUAGGCAACUUUCCACAUCCUCUCCUAGCUUUUUCCUGCAAAAAUAAUAAUUAGAGUUCAUAUAAUAGAAAUUUACAAGGAAAAUGUUGAAUACUUUAUAACUUUAUCAAGGAGUAAAAAUUAAUAAACAAUAAAAGGACACAAUUAUGUUCUAUCUUUUCAUGUGCUUGAAUACUUUAGACAGUCAUUUAUAAUGGAGAAAAGAAGUUACCAACUCUUUCAUGGUCUCCCAAAUCAGAAUAAAAAUUAGCUGAUAUGGUCAAAACAAGACCCUUUCACUCUUAUAAAUGUCCUUAUAAAUGUGAGAGUGUGUGACAGAAAUGAUAAGAUAGUGAUCACCUAAAACUCAAGACCCUUUCACUCUUCUAUGGUCAAAACAAGAGCAUGCAAGGACCUGAUCAUAGAGCAAAAUAGGUUGUUUUAUUUGCCUAUAAAGACUAUGACUUGAUCACCGAUUAUAAGUGUAAAAAUAGAACAUUAAAACUACAAUAAAGUAUUAAAGUACCUUGCCUUCAACCUCUCUAGGACUUUGAUGGUUACAAGUUGUGAGGCCAUGCAAGCAUCGGGAUUUACAAAUACCAGACAGUUUCCACAGAAAGCAUCACACGAAAGUGUAUGUAUGUAUCUCUCACCUAUGACUUCUUUAUGAACAUGUGUCCUUUUUUAGUGUUGGACCAAAUUCUUCGAUGAGGUGUGUAGAAAUAAUUACUUGAACAGUGAAUGCGGUAUCCCAAAGUUGACUGCCAUUGUAACCCUGUAUUAUAUAACGAAAAAUCAUAUACAUAUGCACUCUGAUACUAAUAUGUGCACACAAAAGAAAUCAAAUAUAAUGAAAGAAGAAUGGGAAAGUGUCAUCUUAAAACCUGCAUUUUCAUUCCAUAUUCAGCAAACCAAAGAUAAUCAUGUAUCCCUGGGAGGUGUAGCUUGAAAGCCUCUGAGUUUGGAUCUUCUGCCUAACAGCAGAGCAUAUUUAACACCUGAAGAAAAGGUUUUGGUUUAGACUAUAGAAAAGGAAUGCUUCAGAUAUAGGAUAUGAACUUUUCCAUUUUCCAAUAUAAGGAUUAGAUAGAUUAUAAUGGUAUUGUUUACCAUGUUUACAGGCCCUAUGCAUAUAUAGCGAGUAUUAUCAUCCUCAUAAUGGAUGUGUUCCAUGGCAGUGCUAAGAGCCUUCUCUCUCUACUUCUUCCUAGGCAAUCUCAUCAGUAUAAGAGUAAUAAAAAAAACUAAAAAUAUAAUUUAAGAACUAACAUUAACCCCCAUUGAAGUAUGGCCUUUUCUGUUGGUGAUCCAAAAACCUCAAUUUCUUAGCCUCCCUAUUAAACACCAACCAUAAUCAGGUAUCAUUUAAUGAUAAUUAUUAUAAAAAAAAAGAUUUACUAUAUUUGAAAAUACCUACCUCAUGUAAAAAGACAUUGCCAGUUGUAUUUUGAGCUACGUACACUUCACCAAUAAGAUACAUCAUCUCUCCUUCUUCCUUAACUACCCUUUCAGCAGCCUCUUUACUAACAACCAAAACUAUCCCAAUUCCCAUAUUAAAAGUCCUCUUCAUUUCACCAUCUUCAACCCUUCCAGCCUAAAAAGGGGCAAAACUGGAAACAUCAUUAGAAAAAAACAAAUAACCAACUUUUUAUUAGUGCUAUAAUGAACUUCUAAGCUCAAAAGUAUACCAUUUGUGAAUAGGAUCACAUAAUUUACAGAAGAAUGGUCUAAAAGAAGGAAAAAGACAUUUACUCAGGGACUCAACAAGACAAACAAACAGUCUAAAUUUAACAACAAGAAUACGUAAGAGAAAACACAGACUACAAUAAAUAGUAAAUGGAAUUACUAUGCAAAGUAAGUUUGCCCCAAAUACAGAGGAUCAUUAAUGAAAAAUAAACCAAGAUUUGAGAAGGUGAAGUGAUUCUAUGUUUACCUGAUUGAAUUUUGGAGAAGAUAAAGAUGAACACAGAUAACUAAGAGAUAAGAGACCAGAUGCAGUUUGUGCAGAAGUUUCCGAAGAGAUAAUUUCAACACGUGUUCUCAUUAAGACUUUUAAUCGGGAUGAAAUCCUUUGUUGAUUCCAUGGCAAUAGGAAAAGGAAAUGAAGAUUUAAUGGGUAGCAACAUAGAGCCGACCAAGCAAAACCAAGCCAUCCACAACUCUCAAAUCAAGACGAUGACAAACCUGGUGGGCGGUGGAGGCGCUGCUUAAGGCGACGACUUUGGGUGUCCACCGGAAGGGUUUUUUUACCGGCGGGAAGGGUUUUUGACCGACUUAGGGUGUCAACACGUGCACGCAUAGAAACAUGCUUCUUCCUUCCUUGUAGAAUUCCUUAUGGGAUGUCACCAUUAACAUCUUCACAAUUAUGCUCCAGUGAGUCAACACCACUCCUUUGCUCAAUCCGGUUGUACCGGAAGAAUAAAGUAUCGUGGUGUCAUCGGAUUGAGAAAUAUAGGGAGACAGAGCAGCAAGGUUACACUAUUUCUCUAUCAAAUCUGAGAAGUUUCCCAGAUCAAUUAUCGAUAGAUUGAAGCCAUUGACCUUAGAGAAUGGUUGUUCAACCCUGAUAAUCAACUUAGGUUUUGAAUCGCUGAUUUGGUGGGAAAGUAUAGGGGAUUCGUGGUGGUAGCGAUGGCACCAAUGGAUGUAACGGUGAGAAAGGCAAGGCUACAGGGAAGAGGAUGGAUUUUAGGUUAUAAAGAGAGAAAGGAAGACGAAGACUCUAGGCUUCUUUCUUGCUAAUUGGAAAGGGGGGUUUAAUUUUUCACAUAGGCGGGGUUUUAAUUUUUGGGGAUUUCAUUUCCCGCUCAAAACGCGUGUUUCAUUAAAAAAAUUAUAAAAGCGACACACUUACAUGACACCCAUUUUAUAAUAGGUGUCCUCUGUAUUUCUUUUUCUUUUUCUUUUCAGACACUAAUUUCAGGGCACGUACAAAUGCGUGUCCUCUAUCCUUCAAAUUUUAUAAGAGAUGACAUUAUUUUUUGGACGCACGCUUUUGCGCAUCGUAAAUCACUGCGUGUCAUUGUUUGCGCGUCAUUAAAGGUUGUUUUUCUAGUAGUGAAUGAUUCUCUUUCCUUAUAUGAAAUUUUAUUUUAAAAAAAUGAAAAUUCCUAAAAAAUGACAAGUGGAAAAUAAUAAUUCUAAAACUCCCAUGAAAUUACAAGUGGCAAAACUUUUGAGAAUUUGACAAGUGGCAAAAAAACAUUCAUUUAUUAGAGAGGAUUAUGAACAACAAUAGCUUUAUUGGUAAACUUCCUUGGGAAUUAGGGAAUCUACAAGUUUUGGAAGUCAUAGAUUUGGGUGACAAUAAACUCGGUGGAAAUAUUCCCAAAUGUAUCGGGAAAAAACUUACAUAUUUGGUAGUUUUGAGGUUCAACAAAAACAACUUCACUGGUAGAAUUCCUUGAUCUCUUUGCAAAGAUGGGAUCUUGAUUUCAAUGUACAACGUCCAAAAGCUUACCUUGAACUUGGCUGGGUAAUCAAUUCAAUUAUGGAUAAUAUUAUGUUCUUCCCUUUCUGAAGUAAAUUCGUGAUUUUUCUUCACGAAAAUCAUUUGAUUUUGGAAUAACUAACAAAUUAGCAAAUGGGUGCUGUUUUACAAGAAGCAAUCGGUCAUUACAAGGCCCUUAUGACCCAAUUAACAUCAUGAAGAACUAGGUAAGUAUUGUAUACUAAUUCUUGUAAAAAAAGCAUGGUGGUUGUUUUGUGAAUCCAACCAUGAAGUUUGAAAAUUUCCAUUUUUCAAUCAAUAAUUGGUACUAUAUUCAUCUUUAUGAAGGUGCUUCAACGCCGAUGAUUACAUCUACUUCAAGGUCCUUGCGAGUUUUUAUGUUCUGUCGAUCUUUUACUCAGAUACAUAAACCGACAUACUGGUGUUUAUCGGUAAUGAAUUUUUAGGUUGAUGUUAAUUGUAUCAUGAGUAAACCAUAAUAUGCUCAAUAACUUGCAAUUAUUGAUGAAAUAAUCAUGCAUUGAUUGGCUUGAUUCUUUGUUUUGCAGCUUCUCGAUAUGUGUGUGAAUGCUAACUCAGGUUAUUCCUUCAUUUGAUAAACCUAGUGUGUUUAGUCUUAAAGAGAAAUAUUAUAUACUCACUCAGGUGAUGCCUUCAUUUCAUCUUAUGACUUAUAUUUCAUCUCACAUCUGUUUUAAGGUUGCUAGAAGUUACAUUUCUGGUAUAAAGGGUGUCCCUGGUUGUACUUGCAUACUUUGUUAGUCAGUAUUAGAUACACACCAUAUAUAGGUUAUGUUGUAAUUUAGUUGCUACCUACAGUCAAAGUCAAACCAUUCUUGUUCCAUUCAUAUAUGUUUUUUUACAAUUAAGUUUCAUCACGUGCAUUGUAGCAAUUAUUCUAAUAAACAUUUAUGGGUUGUGUUCUUUAAUGCUUGCAGAUCUCGAAGUGGUGGUUCGAUGGACUCACAAAGUGGGAAACGAAAGGAAGAACAAACGAAGAGACCGAUAAGGGUAACAAAGUGGGCGUGAUAAACUCAUUAGGACAUCGCUUUAUUUAUAUAAGGGGGUGUCCAAUCUUGGGGAACAAGGGUUGACUGUGGACCAGAGUCAAUUGCCACAUCAGCUGUGACUAGGCAGCCACCUCACCGUUUUUUUUUACUGAUUUGUCAUAGAAACUUUUUAUUACAGGUCAAGGGACCAUUUCAACUGGUCAAUGUAUAUGUCGUUCCCUUAAUGUACAAAAAAGAUUAAUUGGGUGACCUUUUAAAACAAACUUGACAAGUUCGUUAGGAUAACAUGACAUUUUCCCUUUUCCUAUUAACAAAUCCACAAGUUCGUGUAUCUCAUUUCCGACUUAGAUAUAUUGAAAUCAUAAUAUCGGUAUUUAAAUUUACAAUUUCGUGUAUCAUUUCAAGAGAUUGUAAGUAUUAGAUUACACUUUGGAUAAGUUUCAACGUGCUCCCAACCUGUUUGUUUCAUUGUCACUUUAGCCCAACCAAUUUAUCAGUUUUAUUUUAAAAUGUUUGUCAUCUUAUUAUUUAUUAUUAUUAUUAUUAUUAUUAUUUUGCAUAUGAAGGGAAUCAACUUGUGUUUUACCGGUUAAUUUAUGUAACAAACCCAUUAUAACCGGUUAGGUUUGUUAUUUGGCUUUUUUAUUUGGCUAGAAAGUGUUGACAUGUAGCUUCGUCAUUCUAUUGUCUUCCCAUCUAUCAAACUUUCAUCUACAUAUCAAUCAUAUGGCGGUUGGUUUAGUGAUAAACGGAUAACAAUUAUAAAGUCUUCCCAUAUGUGGAGAUAAAGGCAAGAGAAAGGCGCACACAUACACACACAUACACAUUGCUCAGUUUCAUCCCCUGCCUCCCCCAUUACCAAAACUCUAGUGCAUACAGAGAAGAUCAAUGAAGAAGUACUUAGGAAACGCAUACACAGGAGACGCAUGUGUUCAUACACAUCUCUUUCCUUUUCAAUUCAGUUAUUUCUAACAUUUUCCUCAAUUUCUCGAUGCCUUCUUUCGAUUGUGCCUUUUGUCCGUUUAGUUUCUCAUCGAACAUUAUCACUCUAUUUCUAUUUUAGGUAUAAACAAAUUGAGAUUUUCUAUUAGGGAUUCUGAUCAUCAAAUUUUACAGAAAUGUUUUUCGUUCCAUGUUUUAGAGUCCCAUGGAAAUUUAACUUGAAGUUCAAUAUAUAAAAAGAAUCGCUUGAUAUAAAUUAUGUGUUCUUNUUCUGCUCGUUUUUCAGGAUGAAUUUGGGAAUGGUUUCUGGUCAGUGGUCAGCCAACUUCGUGAAAAUUGAUUAUCAUGUUCAGAACCGUCAAAGCACCUCCCAUGUGUGGUACCUGAAGGAGGUCAAUGUCACUACUAGAAAAACAACCUUUUACGACGCUCAUUGCGCGUCGUAAAACACUCAAACGACGCGCAAAUGCGCGUCAAGGAAGGCCCUGUCAUAGCGAGAGACGACACGCUUUUGCGCGUCGUCUAGAGACGACGCGCAUUUACGACGCAUUUAUGACACGCAAUGCGUAUCAUUAAAGCCACUGUCAAUAAAGGCCAUGUCAUAAAUUAAGAUGACACACAUUUUUGCGUAUCGAAACUUUUAUUUUUAUUUUUUUAAAAAAAAUUAUUUAUAGAUUUACGUAAAUUUACUAAUUUUCAAAUUACAUGACACAUUUAAUGUCUCAUAAUAUAAAAUAAAAUCUCAUACACAAAAAACAAAAUAAAUUGCACAAAUUAUAAUAUGUCAUACAAAUGAUCAUUCAAAUGUUAAACAAAAAUAAUACAUUGCUAACAUGGGUUAUGCAUUCCUAUAAAACUAACAACCCACGGUGACCUUAAUCUAGAUUGAGGUCGACUUGGAUCAAUGGCGACAAUUGAACUGUAAGAAAUAUAUAGAUCAAAUUGCUUAACAAGUGAUAAGUAAACAAAUCCAUUAGGAUUUAAUCAAUUUUACUUACUUUGAUCUUAAAACUUCGGGAACUAGAAGACCAAAUUGCUUAAAAAAAUCAGCAAAAGCCUUGUUGGUAGGGUACCUUGUACAACUUAUACGAAUUGCUUCUAGAACCCCCUUCAUGAAGAGUAAACAAAAGAAAAUUCAAAUAUAAUUCAGGAAUCUUUAUAAAAGUUUGAACAUCAUUAUAUGCAGUCUACUCACCCCACAACAUAAUUGAUGAAUGAUGUUGACAUUAUCAAAGAGUAACAUACCAUUUCCUUUUGAAGAUUCCCAGAGAUCCCAUCUCUCUAAUAUUGAUGCCAUCUCUCUAGCACCUGAGUCAAGGGGCAUGUUGACUCUCCCCUGAAAAUUAAAAAAUAUAUAUCAAAAUUUUUAAUACUCUUCACUCUAAAUAAUGUUAAACUGUUACCUUGUUUGAUCUUUUGGAUCGAUUGCUUUCAUGGGUGUGUCCAACAGCAUCUGAUAUAACCUCUUCACUGUAUGAGAAGGUGAAGAAGUGUCCAUGUCAUCUGACAUACCAGAUGAAGCUCUUGAUAAGUAAACUUUACCACUCAUAUCCAAAAAACUUCUCAGGUCCAUAAAUAUUACCUGAUAUGAAUUGACUACUACUUUGAGGCUCGAAGGUUUGAAUCUUCUGGUGCAAGUAGCUUAAACAAUGCCAAAGCUUCCUCAAAUUUUCCGGAUGCUGUCAAUUGUACAAUCUGCAUUUUGAUACAAGAUUUAGGCACUGAUAAAAUUACAUAAAUGGCCAUUGCUCUUGUAAAAUACUUGUAGCAUAAGGCUUCUGAAUAAGACGAGGCUCAUUACUAAUGUGCUCAAUAAGGCGAGGCUCUAAAUUCCUUAACUUCUCUGGAAGUUCACCAUCAGGACCACAUAGUGCAUCCAUGUUGUAAUCAUAGUUAAAAAGAAAGUUAAUAUGAACAAAAGUUACAGAACCAUGUUUGAUUUAAUUUUUUUUUAUUGAAAACAAAAGUUCAUAUGAACAAUAACGCGAGGCUCUAUUAUACGACAUGAACCAUUAGCGUUAGUUGAAUAGCUUCCUUUAGGGACUCCCCAUAACACAGGAUUAUAACUUUUUAUUGAAAAAAAAGAGUAAAUUUUUAAUUUUUAGAACAAAUCAAAUUUUAGAAUCAAGAAUUAAAGAGUAUGAAUUAGAAUUACCCCCAGUUGUAUCCAUCCUCAUUUUAGAAUCAAGAAUUAAAGAGCAUGAAUUAGAAUUACCCCCAGUUGUAUCCAUCCUCAUUUUGGAUGGCUGUGAUGUACUCCUGUUGCUCAGGUGAAUCUGGUGACAGAGAUUUGAGCAUCUCCAUAUCUAAUCUUUUUCAUUGCAAUCCAAACCAUAAAAUCAUACACUGUAAAAUCUGAAUAAUAAGAAAGAAGGAAAUGUAGAGUUUUUCUUACCUACAGACUUCCAAAUUAUGUGUGCGGCCAGCAUCUGAUAAUUUUUUCAAAUGAAGUACACCAGGCGAUUCCUUCAACACAAUAACAUAUAAACUUUAUAGCAUUUUAAAUGUUUAAUAAAAAAGGAUCACAUAUGUUUGAAUUUUGAACAUGGGUAUGAAUUAAAAAACAUACCUGAGAAGUGAAGGCAAGAUAACCUUUCUGGAUCUACUGUAGAGUUGAUAAUGAAANGUAGAGUUGAAAUGAAAGUAAGUUAUACUUGAGCAGGUAUGAAGGACAACGUGACAUGUUGUACAAUCAAACAUUCAACCUGGAUCAAGUUGCAUUCGCUUCAGAAGGUAUUAAAGAUGCUCAGCAAACAGUAUGUGUCACAAUUAUCAAGCAUUUGCUACAAAUAGGAUCAAACAAAGAGCUGAAAGGAUUGAUGAAAACCGUGAAGAUACAAGACAUUGAUGUUAGUAUAAAUAUUAUGAAUCUCUUUCUUUUGAUACUUUGUAAUUACAGACCAUUUAAUCUUGUUUUUAUGUUUAGAAUUUGCAAGAUGAAAUGAUGGACAUGAUGGAUAUAAGCAGUGAGAUACAAGAAUCUCUUGGUAGAAGUUUAGUGUGCCAGAUGAUAUUGAUGAAGAUGAUCUCAUGGGUGGUAAGAACAAAUUCAUUAUUAUUAUUUUUCUUUUUUUAAAUGUUAAUUUCACUUCAUGGAAAUGUUUCAGAACUUGAUGCUUUGGAGGCAGACAUGGGUCAAGAAACUGAAGGUGAAGGGGUACCUUCAUAUACUCAACCUGAUAAUGAGCCCGAUCUGAAUGAAGAACUUAAUAUGCCUUUAGCUCCAAGUGUACAUGCAGUGCCAGUGAAACCAUCAAUCAGAUGACCUCAUUACAAGAUUCUAGAGUAAAAUCACAACAAAUUUCAAGAAUUUUAGAUACCCAAAUUGCUAAAAUUGAGAACUCUUAUGUUUCACAUAUGCAAUCUAACAUCAGAAAUGAAAAACAAGAAGUGCAUUUAAAUACUUCAAGAACAGAUAGAAGAGAAGAAAAACAGGAAAUAAUAAAUUAGAUGACCUUAUUACAAGAAUCUAGAUUGAAAUCGCUACAAACUUCAAGAAUUUUAGAUACCCAAAUUGCUAAAACUGUGAACUCUUCUGUUUCUCAUACAUCUAACAUCAGAAAUGAAAAAAAAGAAUUGGGUAUAUGAUUUUUAACACUAUUGAUUCAAAAAAGUUUUACCUAGUCGAGCAGCAUGCUUAAGCAUCAUCUGUGGUAAUAUCCCUUUCUGCAAGGUUAGCUUCCAAAUUUAACAUCAUUAAUUAGUUAAUUAAUUAAAGGGUAUUUUGGGAAAAUCAUAAAAAAGAUAACCUUUUUUGGUUUUGUGUUACUAGGUUAUGCGUGAUCCAAGCGGAAUGAGUAGAGGUUCUGGUUUUAAAUACUAGGAAUAGGAAUAUCUUUUACAACUUCUUGAUCUUUGGGUAAAGGGGUUUUAGGAGGGCGACCUCGUCUUUUUAUAGGUAUGUCUUUUACAGGUUCAGUGAAUGCAAGAACUGCAUCAGGAUCUGGUCCCACUUCAAAUUCUUCACGAUUGUCUGUUUCUGCCCUUAGUUCUGCAGAAUCCAGGGCACCAUAACAUAAGAUCUGCAAAAUGAUUAGCUUCCUACCUGCAGAAAGGGUAUAAUAGUCCUUUUCCAAGACACUCACAGAAUUAUGGUCAACGGUGGGGAUUUUAACCAUACCAAGUUGUGGAGUAUUAAUGAGGACUUAGCUCUACAGUAUCAGCUUAGCUCUGCCGUAUCAACUUCAGUGUCUUCUGCUUUCUUAAUCAAUGAGGACUUUAAAUAGAUAAUCAAAGUCAACAUCAAUUAUCAAAGAUGUGGUCAACUAUUAAACCAAUAGAUCAAUUAAAACCCUAAACUAAAUAUGCCUCACGUUCAGGGAACUUUGGCAUUUCUGCUAAUAUAUCCAUCAGGGCUGCACCUUUCCUACUCAAUUCAAAAUACUCCACAACCAUUCUCAUUUUUCUGUAGCAUUAAUCACUAUUUGGUAUUAAAAUUCUUGGGAUUUGACCAUGAUCAGAAAAGUCGAUCUUGUUAAGCCUAACACAACAUAAAACUUGCUCGGGUAGUUCUUCAGGAUGUUGUGCCUAAAAAUUAAGAAUCCAAUCAAAUACAUAUAUUCAGCUUAUGAAUCACAACACAAAAUCCAAUUCCAUAUUCAAAAANUCACUCAAUCAACUAACUUGAAUUUCUCCUAUUUGUAGAUGUCAAAGUCUGACAACUAUGGUCAUCCUGAAUCCGUUGGAAAAAGUUUUCCACAUAAAGAUGAUGUUCCACUAUUGGAUUGUAGAAAUGGAAAUCAUGCUUCACUUCCUCCACCUCCUCCUAUUGUUCUCCUUAACCCAUAAUUUCAAAGGUUUGAAAAUUUCAAGCUCACUCAAGCCCUUUUGGUAAGUAAACAUGAAGAAGGAAAGUCAGUGUGUGUGCACACACCUUAGAGAUGAAGUCAUACAUUGAUAGGUUAAGAAUGUUGGGAGUCGUAGUCUGUGAGAAGCUGGUUGUUGUUGGGGUCUUCAAUCGCUUCCUGACUCAUAUAGUGAGUUUGUAAGAGAGUACUAUAUGAUAGACCAUGACGUGACCCUCAUCGAUCUCGCCUAUUUGCUUGUUGUUGAUGAAUCAGCAAUGAUUUGGCACGCUAGAGAAACAAAGUUGAUUGGUGGAUCUGCCUUCCAAACUUCCAUGGAUAUAUGCAAUGGCAAUGAAAGGCAUGCCAUGGUCGAAAAGUUUGAUCAUAAGAGAAAGGCAAAGUCUGAAGUAGUUCAAUGUGUUAUUCCAAAAGAGUCAAUUUGCUUUUAAUGCGAAGAGAAUGGGCAUUGGAGACGAAGUUGCCCUGUUUACCUGAGAGAUCUAAGAGAUGGGAGAGUCAAGACAUUUGGCUCUGCUUCAGAAUCGAAGAAAAGAAAGGAAGCUUAAAGGAAGAAGCGUGCUGAAUCUGAUCGUGAAGAAAUGGAUUUUGAUCGCAUGGAUUCGAAGAUUGGAUUUUUUUGAGCUGCUACUUUAGAGUUACGAUAGAUUGCUAAGAAAUGUAAUAGCAUAGUUUUUCAAUUGAGUUGUGUUGUAAGGACAAAAUUUUCUGCAAUAAAAUAAAGAUUUUGUUUUAUUUAUUUAUCCUUGCAAAGACAUGUAUGAAAAAUUGAUGUUUGUGUAUUUCUAUUAUUAGCAAUGUUGAAAUGGAUGCGAUUCUUAGUUAUGUUAUUUAUGAUAGUGUCAUAAUUUUCUAAGUAAGGAAAGAUUCCCAUCGCCCAAGUUUCAAUUGGACAGAAACUUAGAAUCAUACAACCAGAAUUGUGUGAUGUAUGGAAAUCUUGGUACUUAGGUAAUUAAGACUAAUUCCUUGUUCACAUAAGUAUGUGAGUCAAGUGAAGGACUAAAGAAACUAAUACACAAUGUUGUGCACUAGUCAAGUCCACCAUAAAUAAUAAUAACAUUAUUCAUCAUGAUUUAAUAAAGGUCUAGUAAAUGUGGUUAUACUUACAAGAUUAAGUGUAAUUCUGAAUAAUUGAAAAGUUUCAAUGAAUGACAGAACGAAUGAGUAGAAUCACUGAAGGCAGAAAGAUAAAAAGUUUCUCCAAGAAGGGAGAGUACUUUUGUAUCGGGUUUUUAUGAUCAUCUUAAUGAUUAAGAGUCAUAUCAUAAUUGAUCCUCUAAGGACAUCUUAGUUCCAAAAUCAAGUCUUAGAGUCAUACUCCAAGAAUGUGAAUUGAGUGACACAUUUUAAGAAGGUCUAACACACUUAUCAAAUGUAAAGUAGAAAAAUUGUUUUUCUUGCUCUUACACAUUUGAAAUUGGUAAGUUGUGAUGUCUUGAAGAAGACAAAGACCAACUAAGACCAACUGUGUGUAGUGGUUUGUCUUGAUAUAGACACACACUAAUUCUUGAAUAUUUGUUUUAUCAAGAAAUGUUUCUUAAUAAGAGAAUCUAAUAUGUCAAGAGGUUAGUGGGAGUCUAAAAGAUCUUGAAAAGUUUCAAGAACUAAUCAAGAGUAAACUUGUUAAACACUAGCACACGACUUAAGGAUUUUAACCUAUCGUGUUGACGUAUUCUUGUUUCUAUGUCAAUCCAUUUGAAUUGAUUAUACAUAUGAGUUCUACGUGUUCUCAAUAGGUUGCAUAAGGGCAAACACAUUGUUCAAUGAAAGUACAUUGACUAGCAUAGGUGAGCUGCUAAAUAACUUGGAAGCAAUGGUGGGAUCCUUGAUGGCAAGAAAUUAAGUAUGAACAGGUUAUGUCUAUAAGAGUUUGGAUUUGUCACAAACAUUAUCUUGUGACUAUGGUUAUGACAAAUUCACAUGGAUAGGAACACAUGCACCAUAAAAUCUAAGUGUCAUAAGGUUUCUCUCCUUCAUGAAAAUGAUUAUGAGGAAACGCUUUCACUAAGAGAGAUUUUAAGAGGAUAACGAUUAUGUAUGUUGAAUUCUCAAAUUCGAUUAUGAUUACGAAAUCCCUCUUCAUAGUUCGAAUUGUGAGAUUUGGCAAUUGGUCUGAACAUUUGGGACUUAGUAAUAUAAGCUCAAAUUAGUUUAGACACACAUGUGAGCUGUCUGAGGAAAGGUGUAUGAGUUUGAGAAGCUUAGAUAAAGGAUUAUCGAAGCACAUCGUAUUGGAAAUAUGAACUUUGGAAGUCAAUAAGUAUUGUCUUCUAGAAGUCUAACUGUUUUCUGAAUACAUGUCAAAGCUAGUAGGAGCAUAAAUGUUAUGCUGGAAAGGAUAUAAUCAUCAUGUUAGUGGGAGCAUGAUUAUUAUUUUAAGUAUUGCAAGUUGGCAAUAUUAAUUAUAGAAAAACAAAAGUUUCACUUUGCAAAGUUACAGGGGUUGAAAAGUUGUUUUUGCUAUAAUUAAGGGAGAGAAUGUUAUACUUCUUUUUCCAAUCUAAAAGCUUAGAUCGAGAAAUUUUAAUUGAAUUUAGUCAAGGAUGUAUUUAUUAAUUGCAUUCUCAAAGUUCGAUUAUGAUUACAGCAUCCCUCUUCAUAGUUCGAAUUUUGAGAACACAACUAGAAAUAUUAUGACAAUAUUAUAAUAAGAAACUGGUAAUUAUAUACUACAAGAAAAAGACCCUUUUAUGACGCGCAAAACACGACGCCCUUUGAUUUAUGUUNAUUAUGAUUUAUUAAUAUAUUAUACACUACUAGAAAGAAGGCCUUUUACGACGCGCAAAACACAACGCUCUUUGAUUUAUGUUACGCAUUAGAGAGCGACAUUAAAAAAGUGUCAUCUCUUCAAAAAUUUUAAGGAUUUAGGUCGCGCAUUACUGAGUGCCCUUAAAUUAGUGUCUCAUGUAAAAAUAUUAAAAACACGGAAGGCACUUGUGCGUCGUCUGUGAAUGUCAUUUUAUAUUUUUUUUAAGAAACGCGCGUCUCAGAGGGAAAAUGAAAUCCCCAAAUUUUUUAAACCCCCACCUUCUUCUCCCUCGUCUCCACCCCUCAUCCACAUCCACUACCUCCAAUCCUCAUUUCCUCUUCUAGCCUCAAACUACGGCGAUGCACCUUCCUUCUUGAAAAAUGCUUCAUUUACCACCAUCGUCCGAUUAUGUGAACCCAAGGAAUUGAUGGAGACGAAAAAGAUUAUGGAUCAAUUGCUUCACAUCAUGUUUAAGGUUAAGGGUUUGAGAUUUCUUCCAAAUCGACCCUCACACUAAAUGGUUCGAUCUCCUCUCUUUUUACCUUGUUCCCUCUACUAAUGCCUCCACCUUCUACCAUCGAUGUUGAUCUUUGAAUUAGCAACAAGAAGCCCUAAGGCCUCCGCCUUCACCCACCUCCAGCGCCUCCAACAAGAAGCCCUAGCUCCCCUGCCUUCACCCACGUUCUCACAGUCGAUUGUAAAUCGGUUUUGAUGUUCUUCCAAGAUUCAUGGCUUACACAUCUCUCAAUUCUCUUUCUGUUGGUGGAUUUGCUCUUUUUUGCUCUCGAUCGAGGGUUUUUUUGGCUUCAGGUCUCAGAUUUCUUUUAGGCCUUCUUCAACUGUACUCAUGCAUAAAUUCUUUGGUAAGGGUUUUUAAUCGCUCUUUAAUUUCGAUUCUUUGUUGUUUCCGUUAGUUAGUUUGCUUAUUUUCUAUUCAAUUUUCGUUAUUUAGUUGUUUUAUUAGGGUUUUUUGGGCUUUAGGUAUCGGAUUUCUUCUGUCACCAUGUCGAUGUGUACUCCCCUCCUCGAUGGUGACACCUAAUCAAGAAGCAAUCGAUACAUUCAUGAGCAUCACCGGUUCAUCUAAAUCGGUUGCUAUAUAGAAACUCACGGUAAUUACGCCAAAUCUUCAUCUAAAUCGCAUCACUGUUCAUAUAGCUUUUGUUUUCCUCUUCCUUCUUGAUUAACUGUUAUCGUUUAUUUGAUUUAUUCUGGUACAUAUUAACAGUGUUAAUUCAUGCUUAUAUGUUAUAUUGAGCUUGAUUUUGAUAUUAUAAUAGAAUAUAGGGGUUAGUUUUUUACUAUUCCAUAAUUUUUUGUUUGAUUCGAAUAAACUAAUUCCAUACAGAUGUAAUUUUGAUUUACUAUGUUAUCGUAGAAAGGGCUAGGGCUUGCUUUCAAAAAUUAGUACUUAUAUACACAAAAGUGGUAGGGUUUUCUAUCAUAUCAAAUCUACGAACAUUACUUGUUAUGAAGUUCAAUCAAGGUAGCGAUUUUUUGUUGGUACGUGUUUGUAAGCAAUUUGUUUGGCAUUAAAAAGUUCAACAAGUGAGAUUAUUUCAAAAUGGUCUAAUUUUGAAUUUGCUUUCUUGAUGAUUUGUUGCUUUGAGUAUUUUUGCUUCAUGUUUUCUUGGAUUUAAUUUUGUAAAUUUCAAAGUUUACUAAGAUAUUUUCUAUCUAUAUUUCUGUCAGGAGCAUGGUGGAGAUCUUAAUGUAGCUGUUAAUGCACAUUUCACAGAAGGAGAUAGAAACAUCUUACUUUCUUACAUAUAUUUCACUUAUGUUGUUAUAGAAGACAGACAACCUCCAUUGCUGCCCCACCUGAGGAUUUCAUGGACAUAGAUGAUCCAACUAUUCCACCUCAGAGACCUCUUCUCUCCCUCUUUCCUUCUGCUAGAGAUAUCAACAUGAACCUAUUCUCUCUUCUUGAUCCAAACUUCACAAGAAGUAUGUUUGAUAGUGGGCCAAGGUUCAGGGGUAGUGAACCAUUUUUGUCUCAUCCAAGAGAACUAAGACAUAUUCCAGUUGAGGUCGUGGAUGGGCCAAGUACAUAAUCAAAUCAUUCCGGACAUGAUCCAUGAAUUGAAGAUGUCACAGAAACAACAACAAAAAAUGUCCCAGAAACCCGUGCACAUGAGAUAGCGGGUAGGUAUCAUGUUACAGAGUAUCUUAUUGUCUUAUUAAUCUUUAUUGUCUUCUCUUGCAUCUAAAAUUACCAUUUUACCCUUGAUUUUUGUUUUUUCUCAGAACUGGAUUUGAGGAGGACAAGAAUUUCCAUGUAGUUUUAAAUUAUGUGAUAGCUGGUAAGUAUCAUGUUACAGAGUAUCUUGGUUCUGCUGCAUUCAACAAAGCUAUUCAAGCACAUGAUCUUCACACUGGAAUGGAUGUGUGUGUGAAAAUAAUAAAAAAACAACAAACUCUUUUAACCAGAGUCUUAAUGAGAUAAAGCUUCGAAAAUAUAUCAACAAAAAUGAUCCCAGUGACAAAUAUCACCUUCUCAUACUUUAUGAUUACUUUUACUACCGAGUAAGUCAAAUUCAUAACUUUUUUUUUUAAUUUAAUUUUCCCUUUUUGUAUUAUUAACUUGUUUAUAAUAAAUACUUUUAGGAGCAUUUAUUAAUCGUUUAUGAACUUCUCAAGGCAAACUUAUUUGAAAUGAAAACAAAAUUUGAAUGUUUUCUCUUAAAAACAAGACAAGUCUUUGUGUGCUCGUUAUAUAGUUGCUAAUCAAUUGUACGAACUAUGUGAAGGUCUGGGCCCUGAACCCACCAAGUAUGUUCAAUUUUCAAAUCCAAAACAGUUUCUUUUCUUUUUUAUUUUUCUAUUUUCUUUUUCUAUUUUCAUUUUUUAACAUUUUCCAUCUAAAUUAUAACAGGGGUGAGUUAGUUCCAGCAUACGCUGAGGCUACUUUGUGAUAAUGAAGCUGAAGUACGUAUUGCAACUGCUGAAAAAGUCACCCAAUUUUGUCGUAUUCUUUCCCCACAACUUGCAAUUCAACAUAUUCUUUCAUUUGUAAAGGUACAAUCUUUAAUAAAAAAACAUGGUAUCUUACAUUUAUAUUUCUUGUUUUUUUUUCGUUUUUUUUCAUUUUUUUUUCAGGAUACCAGGAGAGAUUCUACUUCAAUCCAGGUGACAUUGGCUUCAAGGUCCGUUUUUUAUACAAUCAUACCCAUGUUUCAUAUUAAAUCGGCACUUUGACUUUUCAAUGUAAGGGUAAGAUAGUCAUUUAGUCUUUUGAUAAUUUAUAUUUUAUUGUGCAGGUGUUCCAAACCAAGUUUGCUAAGAUAAGCAUGGGUAUGAAUUUCUCAAUCCUUUUACCUAAUUGCUCUCCUCCCAACACGUUAAAAUUAAUGAAUGUUUUGAUUUUUUUUUGGCACUAACACUUGGAUGAUGCUUACUUUGACUUGCUGUUGGAGAGGGUAGUGGAGUGGGCUUGCUGAGUGUUGAUUGUGUGUUUGAUGGAUGAAUUGGUCCUGAUUUGUGGCUGGAUACUAAAGGUGAUGAAUGCCACAAAUUAUUCUCAUUAUUGUUUGUUUUUUUAUGUUAGUGUUGCGAGAACAUAUGUAUUUAGCUUUCAAGGAGAUGACUGCCUCAUCUGUCGUGGGUCACGCUCCAUAUUACUGCUUGCAGCAGAAGCAGAAAACGGUGCUGAUUUGUUUCUUUCUACUUAGUAUUUCUUACUGGUUGUGAACAAGCCUCUCAUCUCACAUUUGAGUUUAUAGGAAUCAACAAUCACUAUGAAACUUCUAGUGUUUAGAUUUCUUACUGGUUGUGAACAUUUGUUUCUUCCCUUUCUACCCUUCACUUGCAGGUUGAUGAUUUGUCAAGAAUGUUCAGACUAUUUUCCAAAAAUACCCCAUGGAUUGGAUCCUGUCUCUAGUAUGUUUAAAAAGGUUUGUGAUUUAGAAGCUUUGGAGGAAACGAGACUCAAGCAAAAGUAAACACACAGAGAGUUGUUGGCACAUAGUAAGCUAGAUAAUGCAAUUGUAUAUAAAUGAGUUCAUUUUUUUUAUAACAUUUACUCACUAUUGGAAUAAUUAUUUGUAUUUGACAUAUUAGUGAAAUGAAUUAUCUUUCUUAUUUAUGGUAUUUUAUUUUGUAUUAUGAGAUUUUUAAUGCAUUAUUUAAAUUGAAAAUUAGUAAAUCUAUAAAUAAUAUUUUUUUAAACAUUUAAGAUUAUGAUACGCAAAAAUGUGUGUCAUCUUCAUUUAUGACAUUGCCUUUCUUGACAGGGGCUUUCUUGAUACGCAUUGCGUGUCAUUAACACGCGCGUCGUAAGGUUAUGACACGCGAAUGCGUGUCGUCUUCCUUUAUGACAGGGCCUUCCUUGAUACGCAUUGCGUGUCGUAAACGCGCGUCGUAAAUGCGCGUCGUAAAUGAGCGUCGUAAAUGCGCGUCGUCUAUAGACGACGCGCAAAAGCGCGUCAUCUCUCUUUAUAACAGGGCCUUCCUUGACGCGCAUUUGCGCGUCGUCUGAGCCUUUUACGACGCGCAAUGAGCGUCGUAAAAGGCUGUUUUUCUAGUAAAAGUAUCACGUUUUUCCAUUAUGAAUUGUAUUCCAUACGCUUCGGGUAUAGGAUGGAUUGCAUAUGCUGUAAUAUUUGACCGUUCUAAAAUUUUCCAAAUGCCUAGGGCAUUUAGAGGGAAAAAGGGAAUAGAACCGGUUUUGACUAAAAUAAUUAAACAACGGUCAAGGACAAUCUAAGGUUCGCCAAAGAUUGGUCGCUUGUGGACAAUUGGAAGUAUAGUCAUGGAUGGACCAUAUUGACAUUAUUAUGAAUAGAUAAGAUUCUAUUUAGAAUAAGUUGUCAUAUUGCAAAUAUGGAAAUGUUUCCAUAUUCGAAGUUGGAUAUCGAGAAUCAAUGUCUAGAUUAGAAACUUUUAUGCAAGAAGGAUGUUCAGAGGAAUGUACUUUGAAUGUGAGACUUCAUGACUAUGAAAUUGUCUUGUAACAAUAUCCAAUAUAGCACUUUGUAAUUUCAUUGGCAAAGUCUUGGUGACUUUGGCACUGUGAUAUUACGAAAGGAUCGUUGCAUAAAAUGUUAGAAUCUAACAUAUUCUAGUAGCGGCGAGAAUUUUGUAUUCUUACACUAAUGGAUUAGGAAUUGUGAAAUAAGCAUCAUUGGAAAUGUGUUAAUUUGAUCUAUUUCACAAAAUAAGGACCAUAGGUAAACAUAGUGUGCAUGCUAAGAGCAAAGGACAAUUGUUGUUAUCAUUCAAGUAAGAAGUUGAUUACCUGAAACAACAAAUAAUGAGUAAUCAAUAUGGUGAUUAAAUAAAAUGUUUUAUUUAUACUCAAAGGUUUGGGACCAUAUAAGAUUAGUAUUAUUCUUGUGUUUCACUUUGCAUGUUUUGACUUCUCGGAUAAUAAGAUUAUUCAAAUCCUCCACAGUCGCUUAUACUUUGGAAGUAGGUAUGAAUGAAGACUGUUAUGAACCCGUCUGUAGAUUGUCUAAAGUGUUUAGACAUAGCACAAGUUUGCUGUAGAUUUCAUGAGUGCUGCUAUAAGAUUAGAGUAUUGGAUUAAACCCACGCUCACUAGGAACGCUUCAUGGUUUUUAUAACGAGUGAUUGGUGAGACGAUAAUAUCUUAUAUUCUUGAAACCGAGAUGUGUAAGUUGUAUCUUGUGAGUUGGUUACACAUUGAUAAUAUGUAAACGCACCAGUAACUUGGUGUUAUAAAACGUAUUGUUGUGUGUGAUUCGGUGAGUGAGUACAAGCGAGCAUUGAGUCGAAGUUUAUCCGUUCCUUUUACCCAAAGUGGGAUAAAAAUCAUAUCUGUGGGCCCCUUGAUGAUUUAGUGAUGACACCUUAAGUGCUUGGCUAAGCCGGGACUAAGUUGAUGUGUUCAAUUGUAGUCCGUUGUCAGUCGUCAUAAAUCGGAAAUCGGGAAACAACACGUGAAUAGAGAGUAUCAUUAAAAUUCAUGUCUCGGUUCAUACGAUAUCUAGAAUGGAGGAAUAAAUGAUCCUUUAUCUAAAGGACAAGUUGCUGAUAAGAUCAAAGUUCGACAACGGCUUUGAGAGCUACGAUUGCUAAUCGGAUUGUACUUACAUUAUAGUUACUAGACUUAUCCAAGUGGGAGAAUGUUGGAUUAGUGUCUAAGCCCGUAACUAUAUUCGGUAUGUACUUGACCCGGUUGUGCAUGGUCCUUUUGGGUUGCCUUCACCAAAGCAACUUGAUAGCUAGGAUGAUUUAUGGAGAAAAAGGAUUAAUUAUGAUUUAUUAAUAUAUUAUAUGAAUAAUAUAUUAAAGGAGAAAUCAUAUUAUUUAAUUUUAUAUUAGUCAAGAAUUAAUUAAGAAUUAGUUUUGUGACUAAAAGACAUUAAUUAAACUUAGGGGACUGAAAUUGUAAUUAUAAGAUAGUUGCAAUUGGGCGAUGGAUCACCUUGGAACAUAGGUUGGGCGAAUUCUAAGGGAAGCCCAUAAGGAAUUCAUCCAAGGGUGUUCUAAAGGGAGUCCAUGGGCUAGAAUGUUUUUGGUGAACUCUUUUGUUAGAACCCAAAAACGUGGUGAACUCUUUUGGAAGAGCCCUAGGACGUUUUUGGUGAUCCUCCUCUUUCUCAUAAGUCAUUCUCUUGCUCUUGGUGUUUGUAAACCAUUAGAGGAGUGACAUUUGUGACAAUAAGCUCCAAUGAAAGAAGAUUGAAGAGAUUCAAGCCAUUCUAUAAGAGGUAAUCAUCUAGAUCUGUUCAUAUAUGUCAAUUUUGGAAUUAGUAUGCUAGAUCUAGGGUUUAUAAGGUCUUGGAUGAAUUGCAUGUACAAUAGAGAAACCUAGAUCCAAGCUUUAGGGUUUGCAUGAGCACAUAGGAUGUUCUUUUGUAUAAACCCAUCAUCAUGUACUUCUGGUUCUAAGGGGAAGAGCUCAGGAUGACUACAUCGCACACGCUAUUGGGAUUCUGUUAUGAUGUUUUACUAUGAUUUAUGACAAAUUUGAUACAUUGGUUUAUUUCAAAUGUUUGGAUGAUAUGGAAAUUUACUAUUUUAUCUAAUAUUAAAUUGAGAACUUUUGGGACCAUAUUUUUAGAUGUUACAAUAUUGGUGUGGUAUAUUGGUAUUCCAGUCCGAUGACUGAGUGGGUUGGUUGUAAUCCAUCCUGAUGGUUAUGGAUCCAAGGGUAUUCGAGUCUGAUGACUGAGUAGACCCGUUGUAUAUUAGCAUUCCAAUCCGAUGACUGAUUAGGUCGGGGGUAAUCUAGCCCGAUGGCUGUGGACCCGAGGGUAUUCCAGUCAUCGGACUGAGUGGACCUGUGGUAUAUUGGUAUUCCAGUCCGAUGAAUGAGUGGACUUGUUGUAUAUUGGCAUUCUAGUCCGAUGACUGAUUGAGACAGGGGUAAUCCAACCCGAUGGUUGUGGACCCUUGGGUAUUCCAUUCCGAUGACUAAUUGGACCCAACAUCCUUGUUUGUAUAUGUGUAACAACCCGAAGUUGUUCAACGCCGAAAACCGUUCUACCCGAAAAAUUCGUCGUUUAUCAAAUUCGUUCCGUUUUCGUUUUUGGUUAAGUUAUUUAAACUUAUAUGUUUAUUAUAAUCUAAUGAGUGUCCAAACCCCUUAGGAACUCAUGAAAUUAGCCCAAAAAUAUUUCUUUCAGAAAUUUUAGAAAUAUCCUUGCCGGGUUACGGAAACUUAAUCGGGUGCGACCUAAAGCCCCGUUUAAUGCCGGUAUCGGGUAGAAUUCCACCAUGUCCAAGUUUUGAGACCUAUAUAAACAUGUUUAAACAUUCAUUUGAAGCUUUUUCUUCCUCUCUCUACUCUCUCUCUAACCUCUCUCCUAAAUCUAAGUUCAAGGGUCCAAAACUCAAUUUUAAGGCCUCAAAUCUCUAAGGUACCUUCCUAAACUCAUUGUGUAUCAUAUUGGACCUUCAAAUUCGAGAUUUAUUCAUGAUUUAGAGGCUUAUAUAUGAGUUUACGGCCCAGGAUGGUGCUUAGGCCGUAAACCCAUAUUUAAAGGGUUUUUAAGCCUUAAAGCCCUUCCAAACCACAACUAGACUUUAGAUAUGGCUAAAUGACUUCAUGGAAUGGACUUAGAACACUUUAGACAUGAAUUUUGGGGGAUUUGUAUGAGUUUAUGGCCAAGGCAUGAGCAUGGGCCGUAAACUCCUCAAUUAUGGGUGUAAACUCAUUUUCAAGGUGUUAGAAAGCCAUCCAACACCACCAAAAGCCUUGGAAUAAAUCAUAGGACCAACCAAAAAUAGUUUAAGGGCUUUAAACAUAACAAAACCUCUCAUAUAAGAGUUUACGGCCAUAGAACAUGCUCCAAGGCCGUAAACUCCUAAAACAUGUCAUAUUAUGCCCAAAAAUCAUUUCAAGGCUUGUAGGAAUUUUUAGAAUCACAUGUGAUUAACUUUGGAACAAUAAAAACACACAUUCAAAGGAGUAUGAGAGUUUACAGCCAUAGGCUCCAUGCCAAGGCCGUAAACUCCCUUAAGUGUUGUCAUUUGAUGUUUUAAAUUAAUUCCAAGCCUUAGGAAAAAUUAUUCCAAGCAUUCCCAAGUGAUAUUAGCCAUUUGUGACCCAUUAAGCACCAUAAACCACCCCACCAUGAGUUUACGGCCGUAAACUCAUGGGGAAUGGGUGUUAUAGACCAAAAACUCUUGUAUGAGUUUACUCUUGGGGAGUAAACUCAAAUUCCAAGUCCCUAGUACCAUUACACGUCCGUAGAUGUCACCCGGGUCCCUCCAAACACUUGUAAUGGGGUGUUUCCGCGACUAAAAGUGUUUGUCCCUAACAAUUAAAUAAUCUAAGUCCUAAUUAGAUACAAAUGUGAAUUUUUGCAUUAUACUUAGGAACCUCGUGCGUUUGCAAGCCCCGAACCAACGUUUAGCAUCCUAAAUCGUCACGUUUCUCGUCCAAUGAGUUCAUACCCCUACGCUCUUUCCGUGUUUUUCAAUGUUUUCAGGGGGGAAUACAAGCAAACUAUAACUAUUUUCGAAUUAUAAUAUUGAUAUGUUUCAAAUAAUAUCUGGCAAACUUAUAAACACUUUUACUCCUUAUGUAUUAUGCUGAGCAUAAGGGAUGAUUUAUCAACUACAACUAAAAUGGAUUUUAGUUAAGAAAAUAACCAAACUAAUCAAAUUAUUAUGAGAAUAAUUUGGGGUUCUUUAGUUCUCGUUUAUCAUGUACAGAUAUGUAUAUAAAGUUAUUAGAUAAACUAUGUCUGAUUCAGUUUAUCUCUGUAUCAUUUGAAUGUAUUGCCAGAUAGCUUCAUUGUAUGUAUCUAUAUUCACUGUAUUAUGUUUCAUAAUCUUUUAUAUGUUUGAUAUCGUAUGAGAACCCUGUGAAUAGUUUAGUACUAGUUUGUGAGUUAGUCACUACCCUUUAUGGAUGAUCAGUAAAUCCUCCUCGGAAGUGUAACCAGAGUCUCCUGGAGGGAGAGCGAGGAAUUUGUGAAUAGAUCUAUUCGGGACUGACAAUCCCACACCUUAACUACUAGCUACAGUUAGGCGGGCACGCCUGGGGUGACAAAUUCUGGAUAUCGUCCGACGUCUGACAAGCGUCAAGGAGGUCUCGUUGUCGUAUCAGCAUGGUUACCCGACUCACAAUAUGUAUUAAUAUAAUUUUAUUCACGGUAUCGCUUUGGGUUUGGUUUUGACUUUGAUUCGAUUUCAUAUCUACUUUCUAUCUAUAGUUUCCAUAUCUAGUACGGGAUGGUAGUCCCAUGGUUUUCAGUUUAUUGAACUUGUAUCUAGUGCGGGAUGUUAUUCCUAUGGUUUUCAGUAUGUAUAUAUCUUAUGUCUAGUAUGGGAUGAUAGUCCCAUGAUUUCAAUCUAUAUCUAGUACGGGAUGAUAAUCCCAUGGUUCCGAAUCUAUAACUAGUCCGGGAUGGUAGUCCCAUGAUAUUCAAUCUAUAUUUUCAUGUAUAUCAAACUAUCUUGUAUCUAGUUCGGGAUGUUAGUCCCAAGGUUUUCAAACUACUUUCUAUCUACAGUUCGUGUAUAUUAAAGUAUUUCAUAUCUAAUUCGGGAUAGUAAUCCCAUGAUUUUCAAUAUAUAGUUUUGUGUAUUAAACUAUACUCUGUGUUAUUCAAUCAAUCUUGUAUUUAGGAAAAUAUGGGAUUUUCCUGGGGUUAACAUAUAACGCGUAAUUGAACUGUAAUGAAGGAUAACUAAACUGUUUAACAUAAGAAAAUAUGGGAUUUUCUUGGAUAACAGACCUUUUCGGAAAACUAAAGGAAAUUGGUACAUUUUCAGAAAACAAACAUCUUAUGAACUCACCAGCUUUAUGCUGAUUUUCAAACCGCUUGUAUUCUCAGGUCCAAGUUAGACAGGUACCCGGCGAUAUCUUUUGGUGAAGACGGAGUGCUCAGAAGACUCGUCUCAACUUUUGUUUAUAUGAUAUAUGUAUAAAACUUGUACAAUUUACUUUUGAAACAAAUGUAAAACUUUCAAAUAUAUGUAAUGUAAUGGUUGUUUACUGUGAUUACUAUGUACAUUGGAUUUGAUUCUCAACGUGGAGUCAACCCCGGAAAUGUUUCCGCCUUUGGUUUUCGGGGUGUGACAAUAUGAUAUGUUUAUUGUGUGCUGGUACUUUGGGGGAACUCAGUAAGCAUUGGCUUACAAUUUUAGUUUUGUUUCAGGUACUUAAGAGGAUUGUGGCAAGGCGAAGACAUGACCUUACACAUCCUGAUUUUUAUGUUGUUUAUCUUGGGAGACUCUGUUUUUUGAAUAAUGUUUAAAAACAAUGGUUAUGUAAACAUUUCAUUUAGUAAAUGGGUUGUUUUGAAAAGUUUAAAUUCGUUGUGAUUUUUGAGAUGUUACAUUUGUGUAGGAAACUUAAAUGGCAUGGUUGUGAUCCAUUUAAUGCUUGAGCAUCAUCUAGAUAUCGUUUAUGAUAAGAUUGUGAUUCAGUUCAUAAAAGGUGUUGAUCUCAAAUAUACAACAACUUGGAGAAUGGUUUAUAACAUGGACCUUUCAAGCAAUAAACUUAAGGGAGAAAUAUUGGUCAAGCUAACUACACUUUCUACGUUGGUAGGUUUGAAUUUGUCUAAUAAUCAUCUGAGUGGGGGUAUACCAGACAACAUUGGAAACAUGACACAGUUAUUUUCUCUUGGUUUCUCAAAAAACAAGUUGAACGGGAGGAUCCCUUCGAUCAUGGCAUCUUUGAACUUUUUAAGCCAUUUGAAUUUGUCAAACAACAUGUCAGGACAAAUUCUGAUAGGAAAUCAACUGCAGACACUUACCGGUCCAUCAAUAUAUGUUGGGAACAAACAUCUAUGUGGACCUCCAUUGCCAAACAGUUGCUCAAAUCAUCAAGAUCCAACAACAACAAGCAAGAAGAAACACAAAGUAGCUAAGCAAACCAAAAUAUGGUUGCUUUAUGUGGACAUAAUGAGUGGUUUUGCAACAGGGUUUUUUGUGUCAUUCAAGUUUUUGUAAGUUUCUAUUUUAGCCCCUAAUGCAAAUUUCUUUCAAAAUUAGUCCAUUGGUUAGUACAUGGGGCGUACUCAAUGGGUACACUUAGCGUACUAGCCAUAAAAGUGGUCGUGGGACUUAACCACGUACGCAGGGCGUACGUAAGGCUGAGACAAACCAUAAUAUUUAGGGUUUUCACCCUAUUUAAACCUCAUUAUAGCCUCAUUUGGAAAUGUUAACCGGCCUACACCUCUCCUUGUCCUAGAAAACGAAACCCUUGAGUGUUUUGGUGAGUUUUUAGUUUGACAAAGAGAUUUUGGUGUCUUAAGGUGAAGAAGAAGAAGAGGAGCACUUGAGCAGAUUGUUUGAGCUUGUGGAUCCAGGAUCACCUCCACAUUGGAAGCUUUUUGAGGUAAAUUUAAACAUUAUAAGAACCUUUUGUCCUAAAUUAAAUACAAAUGUAGCUAAAAAUACUAAGAUAAUGCAAAAAAAUAUAUAUGAAUAAAUAUAGCAAUAUCAUCCAUGUGUAUCACGAAUUAAUCCAAAGCCUAUCCCAUACACAUGUACCUACUACAUCUUUCCUUUUACAUUGACCAUUCUCCACAUGAGUUCUUGAAAGUAUUGCAAUAUACAUGUAUGUACCUAAUGCAUCUUUUCUUGUACGUUUCCAUUAUUGUUUAAGACCUCCGAUAUAACAAAAUCACCGGGAUACUCUUCUAGAAUUUCAAGAUUGAUGGCCCUGCAAUGAGCUUCUACCAACCUUUGGCUGGUCCAAUGGUCACUAUAUCUGCAUGACAAUACUUUUUAAUAUUUCCGAUCAUAACGAAUGGAUCAACGUCCCCAGUCACCGUCAUUUUCUUUUCAUUCAUGUCAAAAGCUAUGGACUCAAUCCCUGUAUAUAUUUCAAAACAAAGUUUAGUCGAACAUAUGGUACUCAAGUGAAAAUACAGGAAAAACAAAACAAACAUAAUAUUAACCUGAAAGGAUGGAAACUGCCUUCAUAACCUUCAGUUUUUCUUUAUGAUCGUGUACAUCCACUUUGACAACAACUUUCUGCAAUGGAAUACAAAUUAAUUACAACCAACCAUGAAAGUUAAACUCGAGAAUGAAUUUAAAUGAGGCUAAAACGAGUAAGUUUGGUUUUAUUUGGGAACAUGGUUUUAGGCUUUCUUCUGCAGAUAUAGACAACAUGUUCUCAUCUGUAAUAGAUAGGUUCAGAAGCAAUUCUAUUUACCUCUCCUAAUUUUUUACUUCAGUUUUUGGACCAUAGGUAUAUGAUCCCACAAGUCAACAAGUUUUUUUUUUUUUUUUUAUGAAAUCUCCAAUUGAAUAUGUAGAGAAUUAAUUCACAAAAGUAUUAUAUGUUGGAAUGUUAUGUGACAAAAGUCUUUUUCUUUUUGAAGUAUUUAUGCAGUUUCUGUAAAAAAUCAAUUUUCAGAAAAACAAUUUAAUAAUUUUUAUAAUUAUCUGAAUUCAUUGUCAUUAAAUUAUAAAUGAAGCAGAUAACUACUUAUAUUAUGAAAGUAGGGACAUUUUGUCAUUUACCAUAAAUAAAUGUCAAAUCCUUUGAAAGAUUUACAAACCAGAUCCAAAUGAAUGGACUUCAGUUCUAUUCCAAAUCCUGAGGGUGUCCAAGAAAACUAACCAAACCAAAAACCAAGUAACCAAAAAUAAAAUAAAAUAAAAUAAAAUAAAAACGUAUUCAUUUGGAAAAACCGGCGGUUGGUAAGAUUUGGAACCUCUAAUGUGUUUGGUUGGUUGGAUUUGAAAGAUCCUACCAACCAAACACAAAUCCGUCAUCCUUCCGGUACCAAAUCACUUGACAAGUUCUGAAUCCCGCAACACAAACACCGCUUAAGAAGUUAAAUGAUGGUGGAAGAAACUGCUAACAGGAAAUAAGCCUUAAAAAAAAAAAAAAAAAAAAAACACUACAAUAGUAGGCAAAGCAGCAGGGAAAUGGAGGCAAUUCCAUAAUGGUCAAAUAUAAGGGAAUACUGAGAAAACCAAAAACUUGUGAACAUCUCACUACAUUAUUGAGACUAAAGUGAUUCAUCUACCAUUUACCUAAUCAUAAUGGUAGAAUCAAGGGAUUAGUGGGAAACAGAUGGAAAUGUCAUUUUGUAGACUUCAGUUUUCACUUUUCAAAAAAGUACAUGUUACCGCUGAUUAUUAAAUGAGAACAUGCAAAAGAAUAAGUUUCCUACAGACCUGUAGGUAGUAGUAAGGCCGCCAUAAGAUCUCGACGGAAGACUUUGAAUCAUGUGGUCGGAUUGUAAAUGUGUUUGAACCAUCUUCAUUUUCCUUGUCCCAAAAUAAUUCUGAGCAAUCUGUUGUUUUCACCUCAUCCCCUUUACUUACCCUACGAACGAGCUGACCUCCGACAUAACUCUUAGCUGCUAGCCCACUCCGAUGCUGCUCUCCGUCAAUGGAAAAUGAUAUACUAUUGUAUGAAGAAUUCAACAGUGUUGUGUGCCUCAGUGAACUAAAGGAAACAUAUCCUACGAUUGACACACGUCCAACAUAUUCAGGAUCUGCUAGUGCUUCCCUAGACCCCUGCCAAGGCGCACAUAGAGUAUCUUCAUCUACCUCCUGCCUGAUGAUUAUAUUUAUACGCUGAUGUCUUACUUUGGUAACAAUGCAUAUUAAGAACCCACAAAAGUCUUUGUACCAAUCAUAUGGAAGACGCCGUGUAAAUGUUGUCCCCCUAAACAGCCUACCUACAAACCCCCUUGGAAUCAUCUGAUGAUCAAGCGUGACACUGAUAAAGUGAUCUUCAAGAGCAUGUCCCUGCCAUGGAAAACACAUUCAAUUAUUCUUCUUUAUGGGUUUUAUAUGAAGAGUGAAAUUCCAAAAACAUAAAGAUAAAGCAAACCUGGAGCAUGGAGUGUAGUAAUAUGUUACAAACAAGUGCACCAAGAUUGUUCGGCCCCCAAAGUGAAACCUUCCACAACCAUAUACAGUUUGAAGUAUCUCCAAAGCUUUCAAGUGAGCUACAACCAUCCGCUAUAACAACAGCUAUACUUGAUGGCAGAUCUGACAAUUCUACAAGGCCUGUGCACCAUGACACAUCCAGCCAUUUGAGCCGAGGAAGUCGCCAGCGACUAAAACUUAAUCGUGAAAACUUAUUUCCUUUUAGAUUGAGUUCUUCCAAGUUGGGAAACUCCCAAACAGCAGAGUCAAUGUCUUCAUCUCCCAGACUGCAGUACCGGAGAUUUAACUUUCUUAAGCCUCUGGGAAAAAACCGUAACACUGUAUUGUUGUUGCGAGGUAAACAAGGCUCCUCUAAACAACAUUCUUCUACAUCAACCAGGUCCUCUGCUGGGUUUUUAAUUUCUGUGUCACCACCACAUGUCCAACAAGUAACAACAAAGUUUGAAGAAUACUUUUUGUAGGAUGCAACUUCUUUCCCACUAAUAUUCGAAUGAAGAUGCAGUAGACUGCUCCUUUUGUGUUGGAUCCCCAAGAGCUUAAAAAGUUUGGGGCAAUCUGAUAAUGAAAGGGUCUCGAGUUUCUUUAGUCGCUUAAUGGGUGGAGAUAUCUUAAGAGCGGAACAAAAUUCUACAGAUAGGAAAACAAGCCUUUCCAACUGUCCAAUUGAUGGCUGAAUCUUUUUUAAACGCCGGCAUCCACGAAGAAUGAGUCUUUCAAGAUUUGGAAUUUCACCAAAAUCUGGUGUCAUGAUUAGGUUAUUCAAUCUAACAAGUUCCAAGAUUUUCAGAUUUGGCAGAUUCUGUUGCAUAAAAGUGCAAACAAGUNAAGAGCGGAACAAAAUUCUACAGACAGGAAAACAAGCCUUUCCAACUGUCCAAUUGAUGGCUGAAUCUUUUUUAAACGCCGGCAUCCACGAAGAAUGAGUCUUUCAAGAUUUGGAAUUUCACCAAAAUCUGGUGUCAUGAUUAGGUUAUUCAAUCUAACAAGUUCCAAGAUUUUCAGAUUUGGCAGAUUCUGUUGCAUAAAAGUGCAAACAAGUCAGUAUAUCAAGGUAAUAAGAAUUUAAAGUAAAAUUCAAAAUUAUAUACACGUGAAACAAGUCAAAACAUAUGAAUUAUAUAUUAGAAAAAAAAGUAUAAUAUUUGCAAAGUUUGGAAUUCAGGCGGUCCCCCAUUAAAAAUACAUAAAGCUGGGACUAAACCAUUCGACCAGCUAUUUAUUUGGUUUCACCGGAAAAUCAAAGAACAACGUAAUCCAAAUAACCAGUUUUAACAAAUGAACUGGACACGUUAUUUAGUUGACCUGAAUCGUGAACACCUCUAACUUGAAGAAGGGAGAUUCCUAUUUGACAUGAUGUGGAUUUUUUUAAACAACCCUUUAAUAUGACAGGUCUUUUUGGUCGUGUUUAUCAGCACCACAAAUAUGUUGGUGAUUUGUAUUACCAAUGCGUAUUUAAGUGUAAUUGAUUAAUUAGUUGACCAAAUACAAUCUUGAUGAACAUUAAACAAGUAAGGGAGGUGCGGAAUGCACACUUGUUUGAGUUUGUUCAAGAUUCAAAGUACAUUGUCAUUUAGGGGCGAAGCACUAAAUGAACGGGAGUCCGGGGGCAGCGCCCCUGGUAGCGGGCUCCAAGCCCCUGUCUGGGGUCAAGCUGGAAAUUUUUUAUUUGGGUGCACGAGGAACAAAUGUCCAAGUACCAUUCUUGAGUAGUGUUGCAUAUUCAUCAGCAAUGGCUUGUUGCCAAUGAGGUUGUUUAACAGNNNNNNNNNNNNNNNNNNNNNNNNNNNNNNNNNNNNNNNNNNNNNNNNNNNNNNNNNNNNNNNNNNNNNNNNNNNNNNNNNNNNNNNNNNNNNNNNNNNNUUUGGGACAAGGAAAAUGAAGAUGGUUCAAACACAUUUACAAUCCAACCACAUGAUUCAAAGUCUUCUGUCGAGAUCUUAUGGCGGCCUUACUACUACCUACAGGUCUGUAGGAAACUUAUUCUUUUGCAUGUUCUCAUUUAUUAAUCAGCGGUAACAUGUACUUUUUUGAAAAGUGAAAACUGAAGUCUACAAAAUGACAUUUCCAUCGUUUCCCACUAAUCCCUUGAUUCUACCAUUAUGAUUAGGUAAAUGGUAGAGGAAUCACUUUAGUCUCAAUAAUGUAGUGAGAUGUUCACAAGUUUUUGGUUUUCUCAGUAUUCCCUUAUAUUUGACCAUUAUGGAAUUGCCUCCAUUUCCCUGCUGCUUUGCUUACUAUUGUAGUGUGGUUUUUUUUUUUUUUUUUUUUUUUUUUUUUUUUUUUUUUUUUUUUUUUUUUUUUUUUUUUUUUUUUUUUUUNGGUGUUUGUGUUGCGGGAUUCAGAACUUGUCAAGUGAUUUGGUACCGGAAGGAUGAAGGAUUUGUGUUUGGUUGGUAGGAUCUUUCAAAUCCAACCAACCAAACACAUUAGAGGUUCCAAAUCUUACCAACCGCCAGUUUUUCCAAAUAAAUACGUUUUUAUUUUAUUUUAUUUUUUUUAUUUUUGGUUACUUGGUUUUUGGUUUGGUUAGUUUUCUUGGACACCCUCAGGAUUUGGAAUAGAACUGAAGUCCAUUCAUUUGGAUCUGGUUUGUAAAUCUUUCAAAGGAUUUGACAUUUAUUUAUGGUAAAUGACAAAAUUGCCCUACUUUCAUAAUAUAAGUAGUUAUCUGCUUCAUUUAUAAUUUAAUGACAAUGAAUUCAGAUAAUUAUAAAAAUUAUUAAAUUGUUUUUCUGAAAAUUGAUUUUUUUACAGAAACUGCAUAAAUACUUCAAAAAGAAAAAGACUUUUGUCACAUAACAUUCCAACAUAUAAUACUUUUGUGAAUUAAUUCUCUACAUAUUCAAUUGGAGAUUUCAUAAAAAAAAAAACUUGUUGACUUGUGGGAUCAUAUACCUAUGGUCCAAAAACUGAAGUAAAAAAUUAGGAGAGGUAAAUAGAAUUGCUUCUGAACCUAUCUAUUACAGAUGAGAACAUGUUGUCUCUAUCUGCAGAAGAAAGCCUAAAACCAUGUUCCCAAAAUAAAACCAAACUUACUCGUUUUAGCCUCGUUUAAAUUCAUUCUCGAGUUUAACUUUCAUGGUUGGUUGUAAUUAAUUUGUAUUCCAUUGCAGAAAGUUGUUGUCAAAGUGGAUGUACACGAUCAUAAAGAAAAACUGAAGGUUAUGAAGGCAGUUUCCAGCCUUUCAGGUUAAUAUUAUGUUUGUUUUGUUUUUCCUGUAUUUUCACUUGAGUACCAUAUGUUCGACUAAACUUUGUUUUGAAAUAUAUACAGGGAUUGAAUCCAUAGCUUUUGACAUGAAUGAAAAGGAAAUGACGGUGACUGGGGACGUUGAUCCAUUCGUUAUGAUCGGAAAUAUUAAAAAGUAUUGUCAUGCAGAUAUAGUGACCAUUGGACCAGCCAAAGGUUGGUAGAAGCUCAUUGCAGGGCCAUCAAUCUUGAAAUUCUAGAAGAGUAUCCCGGUGAUUGUGUUAUAUCAGAGGUCUUAAACAAUAAUGGAAACGUACAAGAAAAGAUGCAUUAGGUACAUACAUGUAUAUUGCAAUACUUUCAAGAACUCAUGUGGAGAAUGGUCAAUGUAAAAGGAAAGAUGUAGUAGGUACAUGUGUAUGGGAUAGGCUUUGGAUUAAUUCGUGAUACACAUGGAUGAUAUUGCUAUAUUUAUUCAUAUAUAAUAUUUUGCAUUAUCUUAGUAUUUUUAGCUACAUUUGUAUUUAAUUUAGGACAAAAGGUUCUUAUAAUGUUUAAAUUUACCUCAAAAAGCUUCCAAUGUGGAGGUGAUCCUGGAUCCACAAGCUCAAACAAUCUGCUCAAGUGCUCCUCUUCUUCUUCUUCACCUUAAGACACCAAAAUCUCUUUGUCAAACUAAAAACUCACCAAAACACUCAAGGGUUUCGUUUUCUAGGACAAGGAGAGGUGUAGGCCGGUUAACAUUUCCAAAUGAGGCUAUAAUGAGGUUUAAAUAGGGUGAAAACCCUAAAUAUUAUGGUUUGUCUCAGCCUUACGUACGCCCUGCGUACGUGGUUAAGUCCCACGACCACUUUUAUGGCUAGUACGCUAAGUGUACCCAUUGAGUACACCCCAUGUACUAACCAAGGGACUAAUUUUGAAAGAAAUUUGCAUUAGGGGCUAAAAGAGAAACUUACAAAAACUUGAAUGUCACAAAAAACCCUGUUGCAAAACCACUCAUUAUGUCCACAUAAAGCAACCAUACUUUGGUUUGCUUAGCUACUUUGUGUUUCUUCUUGCUUGUUGUUGUUGGAUCUUGAUGAUUUGAGCAACUGUUUGGCAAUGGAGGUCCACAUAGAUGUUUGUUCCCAACAUAUAUUGAUGGACCGGUAAGUGUCUGCAGUUGAUUUCCUAUCAGAAUUUGUCCUGACAUGUUGUUUGACAAAUUCAAAUGGCUUAAAAAGUUCAAAGAUGCCAUGAUCGAAGGGAUCCUCCCGUUCAACUUGUUUUUUGAGAAACCAAGAGAAAAUAACUGUGUCAUGUUUCCAAUGUUGUCUAGUAUACCCCCACUCAGAUGAUUAUUAGACAAAUUCAAACCUACCAACGUAGAAAGUGUAGUUAGCUUGACCAAUAUUUCUCCCUUAAGUUUAUUGCUUGAAAGGUCCAUGUUAUAAACCAUUCUCCAAGUUGUUGUAUAUUUGAGAUCAACACCUUUUAUGAACUGAAUCACAAUCUUAUCAUAAACGAUAUCUAGAUGAUGCUCAAGNNNNNNNNNNNNNNNNNNNNNNNNNNNNNNNNNNNNNNNNNNNNNNNNNNNNNNNNNNNNNNNNNNNNNNNNNNNNNNNNNNNNNNNNNNNNNNNNNNNNGGCCGAGUCAAAUCCUUGACUCUACCUGUAGCAAAUGCUAUGGGUAGGGAAGCUAUGAAGGAACUUCUGCUUGCAGAGUAUUGCCCUCGGGGCGAAACACAGAAGCUAGAACACGAACUCUGGAACUUAAAGAUGAAGGGUUUUGACAUAGCCUCUUAUACUUCAAGAUUCGAUGAUCUGGCGUUACUCUGUCCGGGAAUGGUUACCCCGGAGAGUAAAAAGAUUGAGAGGUUCGUCUGGGGGUUGACCCAGCCAACCAAAGGGAAUGUCUUAGCUGCAAAGCCAGACACCUAUGACAGCGCUAAAUGUCUUGCGAAAAUUCUGAUCGAUCACGAAGACAACUCUGAUGAGGAGGCUACCACCCCCGAGCCAGUCACCAGUGGAGGCGGAAGCAAAAAGAAAUUCUGGAACAAGCGGAAGGCCCAAAGUACGCAAGGGUUUUCUGAGAAACAGCAAACAGUAGCAGUCCAUGCUGUUACUGCCCCUGUUGCUGUUUUAGCUGUCGGGUCCACGGCCCAAACUCCUACCAGUGGAUACACCGGUACCCUUCCUUGGUGCAGUAAGUGCAACUACCAUCACCGUAUUCCUGGUCCAUGUCGCGAAAGAAUCUGUGACAACUGUGGCAAUAAGGGCCACCUUGCUCGAACCUGCAGAAAACCAGCCAAAUCGACAAACCAAUCAUUUGGAGCGGGAAUCAGUCCGGCCUGCUACAAUUGUGGCGAAGUAGGGCACUUCAAAAGGAAUUGCCCCAAAGCAGCUACAACCACUGAUCCCUCUGUCGCUGCAGAUAUACUCCUCUUUGACAAUUUUUAUACCUGCAACUCUUUUCAAUAUUAGAACAAAAAAAAGGGAAACCUGUUACCCAUCCAUUCGAACAUUUUCUAAUCUCAAUCCUUCAUUUGUAAUCGAAAUGCGCACCAUCGAGAUAACUAACCAGUGAGAUAGAGAACACUAACUUCGUACCUAUAGAUUGUAUCCUCAGUCCGGAGGAUUAUUCUGUUCCAUUCGAUUUAAAUGGGGGAAACUCUUCACGAAAUACUUUGAUGCUAUGUUUGACAUGAAAUGACCGAGUCCCAUUCAUGUUGUUGUCCUUGGUUUCGAAAGGGUCACUCGUCUAGAUCUUUUCCUCGACCCGGUUCUCGUGAUCUUCGGCAUCAAACCUUCGUAUCAUUCCAUGCCUUAAAGCUCAAAAGUUUUUCCCGAUAUGAAUUACCACGCAUCCCUCGUUUCUGUGAUCAUCGAGAAAUGGGAAGUUAACAGCUCUUUCCUCUAAAUGUCUUUCCCGAAGGAUUCCCGAGAAUUUCUUCCGAACGUCUAGCUUAGUCCCACAUCAGGCCUUUCGAGAUCUUCAUAGAAAUCGAUUCUGCAAUCUUCAAAUUUCGGAUGCCCUUAGAGCUUGGUAACAUCUAUCCGGUACAUCACGUCUCGAAUCCUUAGAAGUACCUACCCGACGAAACCCUAGUGAUUUCCUUUGAGGAAAACGAAGUCGUCCAGGGUUGAAACUUUCAUGAGAAAAUCAAUCGAGAUCAUAGAUUGAGAGAGAGUCAAUGUACGAAACAAAGACACGUCCCGAUAGUGAGAGUUCGCUGGAACGCCCAGCGGAGACCCGAUCCCACUUGAGAACGUGAAGAUUCGAGGCGACAAAUCCAUUCGUAUGUCAUUCCAAUUCAUGAUCUAUAUCUUAUUCUUUGAAUUUCGGGACGAAAUUCCCUCUAACGGGGGGAUAAUGUAACAACCCGAAGUUGUUCAACACCGAAAACCGUUCUACCCGAAAAAUUCGCCGUUUAUCAAAUUCGUUCCGUUUUCGUUUUGGGUUAAGUUAUUUAAACUUAUAUGUUUAUUAUAAUCUAAUGAGUGUCCAAACCCCUUAGGAACUCAUGAAAUUAGCCCAAAAAUAUUUAUUUCAGAAAUUUUAGAAAUAUCCUCGCCGGGUUACGGAAACUUAAUCGGGUGCGACCUAAAGCCCCGUUUAAUGCCGGUAUCGGGUAGAAUUCCACCAUGUCCAAGUUUUGAGACCUAUAUAAACAUGUUUAAACAUUCAUUUGAAGCUUUUUCUUCCUCUCUCUACUCUCUCUCUAACCUCUCUCCUAAAUCUAAGUUCAAGGGUCCAAAACUCAAUUUUAAGGCCUCAAAUCUCUAAGGUACCUUCCUAAACUCAUUGUGUAUCAUAUUGGACCUUCAAAUUCUAGAUUUAUUCAUGAUUUAGAGGCUUAUAUAUGAGUUUACGGCCCAGGAUGGUGCUUAGGAUGUAAACCCAUAUUUAAAGGGUUUUUAAGCCCUAAAACCCUUCCAAACCACAACUAGANNNNNNNNNNNNNNNNNNNNNNNNNNNNNNNNNNNNNNNNNNNNNNNNNNNNNNNNNNNNNNNNNNNNNNNNNNNNNNNNNNNNNNNNNNNNNNNNNNNNGAUAAUGAAAGGGUCUCGAGUUUCUUUAGUCGCUUAAUGGGUGGAAAUAUCUUAAGAGCGGAACAAAAUUCUACAGACAGGAAAACAAGCCUUUCCAACUGUCCAAUUGAUGGCUGAAUCUUUUUUAAACGCCGGCAUCCACGAAGAAUGAGUCUUUCAAGAUUUGGAAUUUCACCAAAAUCUGGUGUCAUGAUUAGGUUAUUCAAUCUAACAAGUUCCAAGAUUUUCAGAUUUGGCAGAUUCUGUUGCAUAAAAGUGCAAACAAGUUGGUAUAUCAAGGUAAUAAGAAUUUAAAGUAAAAUUCAAAAUUAUAUACACGUGAAACAAGUCAAAACAUAUGAAUUAUAUAUUAGAAAAAAAAGUAUAAUAUUUGCAAAGUUUGGAAUUCAGGCGGUCCCCCAUUAAAAAUACAUAAAGCUGGGACUAAACCAUUCGACCAGCUAUUUAUUUGGUUUCACCGGAAAAUCAAAGAACAACGUAAUCCAAAUAACCAGUUUUAACAAAUGAACUGGACACGUUAUUUAGUUGACCUGAAUCGUGAACACCUCUAACUUGAAGAAGGGAGAUUCCUAUUUGACAUGAUGUGGAUUUUUUUAAACAACCCUUUAAUAUGAUAGGUCUUUUUGGUCGUGUUUAUCAGCACCACAAAUAUGUUGGUGAUUUGUAUUACCAAUGCGUAUUUAAGUGUAAUUGAUUAAUUAGUUGACCAAAUACAAUCUUGAUGAGCAUUAAACAAGUAAGGGAGGUGCGGAAUGCACACUUGUUUGAGUUUGUUCAAGAUUCAAAGUACAUUGUCAUUUAGGGGCGAAGCACUAAAUGAACGGGAGUCCGGGGGCAGCGCCCCUGGUAGCGGGGUCCAAGCCCCUGUCUGGGGUCAAGCUGGAAAUUUUUUAUUUGGGUGCACGAGGAACAAAUGUCCAAGUACCAUUCUUGAGUAGUGUUUCAUAUUCAUCAGCAAUGGCUUGUUGCCAAUGAGGUUGUUUAACAGCAGCCGAGAAGGUCUUUGGUUCCUGUUCAGAUGUAGUGGUUGUGUGAAAAGCCGCUGGAUCAAAUCGGGUCGUUUGUUUUGGAUUCUAUCGGAGCAUAGCUGCUCUAACUCGGGUUGCAAAGGUGUCGGUUGGGGCAUCAGUAGUUGGCAAUGAUGACAGAUUCAUAGCCUGACCAGUUCUGGUCUGUCUGCUGCGAGCAUAUGUGAAACGAAGGGGAGGAGCAGCAGCAGUCGGUGUCACUAGAGAAGGAGGUAAUGUAGUAGCUGGUGGUGUUUGUGGUGAGGAAGUUAAUGUAGUAGCUGGUGGUGGUGAGUCAUCGUCAAUAGUGGGAAGUGGGUAGGUGGAGAUAUAAGGGUCAGAUGUGGAGGGUGUAGGCUUUAUAGUGACAGGUAUCAAAAAGGGAAAGUGGUUUUCGUGAAAACGAACAUGACAAGAGAUGUAAAUCUUGUCUGUGGUUGGAUCAAAACACCGAUACCCAUGAAGAGAGGAGCUAUACUCAAGAAAGACACAAGGGGUGGAGCGAAAAUCCAUCUUAUGACUUAUGUUGGUUAUAAGGCCGAAGAUGCGGAAAGCAUUGACACCCGAAAAUCUUUAAAAAAAGAAAAAUCAGAGGGUCGUGAAAAGAUGGACUCAAAGGAUGAGGUAUUAGAGGUGGUUCGAGAUGGCAUUCGAUUGAUAAGAUAAACUGCAAUGUCAAAUGCAAAACCCGAUUGAGCGAGAAAGGUCAGGCCAGUUUCAACAUGUCGAUGGCAUCGCUCAACCAGGCCGUUUUGUUCACUUGUAUGAGCACAAGACAACGGAUGAAUGAUGCAAAGAGAGCUAAAAACUAAAGAAGUUUUCGAAACUCACCCUCCCCCCACCCCCCAAGUCAGUUUGAACCGACUUAAGCUUGGUUGAAAACUGACGUUGAACAACUGCAACAAAUUGUUUGAAAAUCUCAAAAACAUCAGAUUUGCGUUUAAAAGGGAAGAUUCACAUAAAGCGGGAAAAGUCAUCAACAAACAACAAGAAAUAAUUGUGACCGUCACAAGAGGUCACAGGUGCCGAACCCCAGACAUCACACACGAUAAGAUCUAAAAUAUGUUUGCGAUUAAAAUUGGAAGAAGAUAAAUGAAGCUUGCAAGAUUUCCCAAUAUGACAUGAAUUACAAAAAGCAUCAGACAUUUUAUGAGAAACAGGAAGACAAUACAUAGAACACAUAAAAUUGAAAAGUUGUGAAUGGGGGUGCCCCAUCCGUUGAUACCAAAUGUCAGAAGGGGCUUUAAAAGUAGUGAGCGCAACUUUGGAAAGACUCUGAAGAGACGAAAGACGGAUAGAGUAAAGACCAUGAGCGUAGUUUUGGUAGUAUUGUCCUUCACAACAAAAAAAAAGUGAAACUCAAAGAAAACAUCAUUGUCAAGACAAAAUUGUUGAACUAAAAGAAGAUUCUUUUGAUUGUUGGAACAUGAAGAAUAUUGUAUAAUGAAAAGGUUUUAGAAGGUGAAUAAAAACGAGUAGAUCCAAUAUGUAAAAUAGAUAAACCUGUACCAUUGCCGACAUCAAGAGAAUCCUCCCCAAAGUAAGGAGUGUGACUGUCAAGAGAGGACAGAUCAUGAGAGACAUGAUUGUUAGAGCCCGUAUCACGAAGCCAUGUAGUGUUUUGAGAGUAAUUUUCAGCAAAGUUAGCAGUUGGUUGUUGAUGAAGACGAAUGGUGAUGGGGUCACGGUUAGGACAUUGAGAGGGAAUAUGUCCAAUUCCACAACGGUUGCAUGCAACAUAGACCGCGUUUUUGUGUAGAAGCCCAAGAGAAUUGGUUAUGAGUUCCUCCUGAUGAUUGAGAAUAGCUACCGCUACCACAAAGAUUGUUUGAGCCGCAACCUCGAGAAGAUGAAGACCAGUUGGCGUCAAAUGAUUGAGGUGAUGUGGAAGGGGCUGGUUGAAGUUGAAGACCCAAUUGUGACACGAGUUGUUGAAGAGCUUGUAAUGUAUCAGGUGCAGAUGAAGAUGCAGUAGUGGAGCGGGUUUUGGCUGUGGUGGCAAAAGCUUGAACCGGUGUUACAGUGGGCAUAUUUUUCUUGACCAUGAAGUCAUGGUCAGCGAGGAGUCCAUUCAAUUCUUGGAAAGAGGUGGGAACUUGCCGAGUAAGAAGGGUGGUAGGGUAGGAGUGGGACAUGGAAUAGGCUCGUUAUAGAGAGAGCCAAAGAUCCUUUGUUGUCGUUCCUUGUGCAUGAAGAUAAGAUGCUUCAGAGAUGGUAGAUAACAGGAGUGUGUGCACAUAGGCAUCAUUGGCCAGCCAUGCAACGUAAGACGGGUUCGGUAUGGUUUAGUAACGGCUUUGUCUGUGGCCGGUAGGGUAGGAGUGGGACAUGGAAUAGUGUCAUCAACAUAAUGAAAAAGACUGUUGCUAAAUACAAAAGGCUGGAUCAUUGUUUUCCAGAAACCAUAAUUGUUAGGAGAGAGGGUAAAAGGAAACUUAUGAGAGUUAUGUGAGGUCUUCUCGAUUGUAGAGAAGGGAGUAAUGGUCGUCGAUAUAAUCAUUUAUGAAGAACAAUACCUGACGGGCAGAUCUAAUUGUAGGCGGCUAGGGUUGUAACCCUAGGAGGAUCCGACUAUGGUAGGCUCUGAUACCACAAUAAAUGUGAUGUAAACGUAUUGUAUUAUUGAUGAUAACAUAAUACAUGAGNNNNNNNNNNNNNNNNNNNNNNNNNNNNNNNNNNNNNNNNNNNNNNNNNNNNNNNNNNNUAUAUAUAUAUAGGGUUAGGUUAUUUUGUUUUCACUAUCUAUUGUGUGCAUGUAUGACUGAUUCUGGACCAAUCAUUUUAGUUAUUUUAAGAAAGUAAUUAAUGUAUAUUACAUGUUGAAGAUAUAAUAGGUAUUAAUUACAUCUUCAGCAUUUAAUAUGUAUUAAUUACUUUCUUAAAAUAACUAAAAUGUUUGGUCCAGAGUCAGUCAUACAUGCACACAAUAGAUAGUGAAAACAUUUGAACCUAACUCUAUAUAUACUAAUAUAACUUGUCUAAUAACCCUUAUCUAAAACCGGUUUUGUGAUAAUUUAGAGACAGUUUGGAAACUGCCUUGUGACAGUUUCAUGUCGGUUUUCAGAAAACCAUAACAAUCUCAUUCUUUUUUCUUGCAUUUUUCCUGAGUCUUAUCCAAUUGAGAUUUCGGGAGUACCACUGAAAUACUUCAAUUUGAAAGUGUUUUCACGGUUCUCGAAUUCCAAACAAUCUUUUAUCCCUAAAUUCUAACAAAAUACAGAAGGUUAUCUUUUAUAUUCAAUUAAGAUUAGUAUUUCCUUAAUAGUUAUCUUUUUAUUUUGGUAUGUUUUUGUUUUUGGUAAGUAGGAUUUGACAAACAUUAUAAGUAUGGUCUGAGGAUUGAUUUUAUGAUUAUGAAAUAAACAUUUUGAGUCUUAGACUUUUCUAGACCACUGUUUUCGAGUUACCGGUACAUUUUUGGUUUUUUUGUGCUUCUUUUUUUGUAGUUCGUAUCAAAUUGGUAUCAGAGCAACGAUUCUGGCAGAAUCAUUGUUAAUUCAAGAACUAUUUCAUUGGAAAUAUUGUUCAUGAUGAUCUGUUCAUCAGAAGAAUUGUUGACACGACACUGUUCACAGCGGAUUCUCAUAUCGAGAUGUCCAACAGCACAGCAAAAGUUGACAAUCCAUGAAGAGGCUGAAGCAACUAGGAAGGAAAAUUCUCAGCAAUUUGGGGAUAUUCUGAAAGCCAUCAAAAACUUUACUGUGGCAGAGGAUAGUCAAAAAUGGAACAAGGAUUCUGAAGUCAAGGAACCCUCAUUAGAGUUUGGAUCCUUGGAUUCUCGGAUGAUGAAGAUUCAUGUACAAGGAAAAUGCAUGAGGAAGACAAGGCCAAGGGCCAAGGUCAUCUCGUGGAUGAUUUAAAGAAACUGAAGGAACCUAUCUUUGAAGGGGACGAUGCUUAUGGUUGGAUCUACCGUAUGACUCGCCCCGGCACACACCAUGAAGACCCGAGGUGGUUCGAUAACAGUUUCCAGAUUUCAACCUUGAGGACAAGGUGCUUGUUUGGGUGGGGAGUAAUGAUAAAACUGGUUGUUUUGGUCAUGUUUAUCAGCGCCACAAAUAAAGAGGGUUAUCUUUUAUAUAUUAAUUAAGAUUAGUAUUUUCUUAAUAGUUAUCUUUUUAUUUUGGUAUGUUUUUAAUUUUUGUAAGUAGGCUUGACAAAGAUUACAAUUAUGACCUUAGGAUCGUUCUUAAGAUUAUGGAAUAAACAUUUUGAGUCUUAGACUUUUGGAGACCCUUGUUUAUCGAAUUACAGGAACGUUUUCGGUUUCUCUUUGCAUUCUAUUUCUGAUUUGUAUCAGCCUUAUGUUUAUAAUCAGAUUGUUUAAUAGUUUAAUUGUGCAUGGCAUGUAAUGUUGAGCUUACAGUUCAAUCAUCACAUUUAUUCCUCUAACAAUUUAAUAUUUCUCAGCAAAAAAAAGAAGAUAAUCCCAUAUAUAACAAUUCGCCGUCCAUCAAACUAAAAAAAUAAAACCAGGCUAAAAACCAGAAACACGAUUAUCAAAUAAAAAUAGAGGUUUACUACAAGUGAUAUUGCUUAAUGACACCAAUGACCAGUGACAUAACUAUGUGCUCGUAUCCAUAUAACUAUUUAUACUUUGCUCUCUGAAUUAGGCAAGUCAGGUCUAUGAUUAUUCAUCCACUUUGUUUUAAUUUGUUAUUUAGAUAGAGUAUAAGAAUUACCUUAUAACCCCUCCAAAGUCGUUUCUGCGAGAUGUCAUCCAAUAUCAAACAACGAAGCUCCCAUGGUGGAAAGUUAGUAGAAAAUGGACUUGCAAGAUCACCUCUCCAAUCAAUCCACCGGAGGUUUUUCAGGUUUGCAACCGAAGGAAGUUCUACUAGAUCAUGGCUAUUGCAUUCAAAUCUUACUGCUUUAAUGAUGUCAAGUUCCUGUAAUAGACGCAAAAUGAUGUCAGGAUUCUCUUCUUCCAAACCAUACAUAUAUAGCAUGUAAAGAUAGCUUAAGCAUUACCGUCGUCACAUCCAUAGCACAAAUUUUUAGAACAUCUUCCUUCUUCCAAACUCUACUAUGUUUUUCUGGAUUCUCAGGGUGUUCCCCUCUAACAAUGUAGUGUCCCAUUUCUUGCACCAAAUCAUGCAUAUCAAACAUUCCAUCUGAAAUAGUUAUGAGCGCCUUUUCUAACAACACCUUUAUGCCUAUAUCAGGGUAAAAACCACAAGCAUCAAGCAUCGACAUUAUCCCUUCAUUUUUAUACCGACCUCUAAAGAAACAUGCAAUAUCAAGAAACAACUCUUUCUCAACCACUGUAAGUCCAUCAAAGCUGAUUUUUAGCUUUUCCACAAUAUUUGUAUCUGGGAUGUCUUUCAAUCUGGCUAUUGCACUCCUCCACCCAUUAAUGUCUUUUCCACAUAGAAAACAACCAAGAACUGUAAGUGCUAAUGGGAGUCCACCAGCAUAAGAAACCACACUUUUUGAAAGGAGCUCAUAAUCUUUUUUAUGUUUGUGACCACAUGGUGCAUGCUUGCAAAAGAGCUCCAUAGCCUCAUCAUCGUUUAACAAACUAAUAUUGUGUAUCUCAUCUACUCUAGGCGCAGUAGUUGAUAUUACAUGUACAUCUCUUGUUGUGAUUAUUAUUCGGCUUCCUUCACCGAACCAAUCAUGUGAUUCAGCUAAAGCUUUUAAUUGGUCAAGCUGAUCGACAUCAUCAAGAACAAUCAGCACCUUUCUACGAUGUGUUUUCCUUCCUCAACUCUCUCUACCUGCACUAUCUUCUCUCUCAAAACACCAUAAAGAAUUUUUUGUUGCAAUUCUUCUAACCCUUUCUUACUUGAUUUCUCCCAGAUAUUUUCUAGAAAGCAACAACCAUCAAACUUUCUAGAUAUUUCCUCAUAAACAGAAGAUGCAAGAGUAGUCUUACCACCACCUCCAACACCCCAUAUUCCAAUCAUCCGCACACCACCUGAACCAAUUUGUAACUUCAAUUUCAAACUUUGCACACGAGACGCUAUUCCAAUAAGGUUGGUAUUUGUGCUUGGACUUACUAGCUGCAACCUCUGUGAAAUUUUUUCAACAAUUUCUAUGAUAACCUCUGAUUCAUGCCUACAUGUUGAAAUUUGGACAUACAACAAUAAUUCAAACAUGCUCACAUUACAAUAGAGGUAAAUUUGCUUUAUGCUCCAUGCUCCAUUAAAAUGAAGAAAAGGAGUAUUAAUCACCCUUUAUAUUUCUUAGAAGUUGUAAAGUCAAUAGCACAAGUAGUUUGUAACUAUUUUCUUAGGAAAAGCAAAUGAUAUCAAAUAGUUAAAAGUAAAGCAAGAUGGGUUUGUUGUUGUAAACUGAAGCAAGGGAUUAAAUACAGAAUUAAAAUUAGAAUUAGAACUCAAUUAAGUCUAUAACAGUUCAGGUAGACCAGGAUAUGCUGGAGUUUUGGUUGAGGUUGCUGCUGAUAGAGCACACAUGAUUUAAGCAUAAACAGUGCAGAAAGAGAAAGAAGAUUACCCGUUGGCAAUGUGCUUUGGUUCCCAUCCAGAAAUGUUACUUGCAUCCACAAGUGCUUUUCUCCAUGAUUCAACCUUUGUUUUGUUCUCCAACUCAUGCUUAACAAAUGCUUCUCCAUAUUUUUGUUUCUGUUUUCGAACUUCAGAUGGAUCAACGCCAUAAAAUAUGGGUAUAACUAUUUGGCCUCUCGUAUCUUUGCAUUUCAUGAUAUGUGCAAGUUCAUCUAAGCACCAUGAAGAAUCUGCAUAGUUUUCAGAGAAUACGAUGACGCCAAUCUGUGACUCUUCUAUAGCCUUCAUAAGAGAUGGAUUGAUCAAUUCGCCCCGAGGAAGUGUCUCGUCGUCUUUGUAAGUGUAUAUCCCUUUUUGUACAAGAGCUGUGUAGAGAUGAUCCACAAACGUCUUGCGAGUAUCUUCUCCUCUAAAACUUAGGAAAACAUCAUGAUUCCAUGAUUGAGAAGAAAAGGCCGGAGAUGAUGAUGAAGAUGCCAUUGGUAUGUUGAUUUGUUGUGAGAGAAUGUAUGCAGUUCCAGCACCUCAAUGAAACAAACUAUGUCUGUAGAAAGAGAGAGAGAUGAGUUUCCAAGAAAUUUCCAAUUAAUGAAAGCUCAAGAAAUAUCUCACCGCUUGACAUGUUGACUUGUUGAGCUAGAUAGCUAUAAUACACACACACACAUAUGGAGAGAGAUUUGAGUUUCCAAAAGAAUUCCAAUUUCCCAAAAGCUUUAAAAAUAAGAUGAAUCGAGUUGAUUUCAGAUUAAUGCAUGAUAUGCCAAUAUAAGAAAGGCACUUUAUUUAUUAUCCACAUUAGCAAAAAACUUACAUUUUAUUAACCGAAAUUAACCAAUUUGUAAUCUAAAAUCUUAUAAGAUGAUAUUUUGGCACAAGUUGUUGUCAUUUCAUCCUCCACAUCAUUUUCUAGGUAUACAAAACAUGAUGAGGCGCAAAGUUCUACAAUUCAAAUUAUCUUAAAGUUAUUAGCAUUAUUAUUGUUAUUAUGACUAAUAAUAAAAGGGUUAGAUACUUAUUUAUGCAACGAUGUUUUAACUUUUUUGGACCUCAUCAACAUUGUUAAUUUUAAUACAAAAUAGACAAUAAAGUUUCAUGUUAGUGCCAAAACAUGCAUUAUGAUCUUCUAAAUCGCUUACUUUUAAUUUUUUGGCUCGUAAAAGAAAUCCACCUCUCUAUCUCUCUAUCAAGGAAAACGGUGACAUAAAAGUGUCCUUAAAUUUAGUAGGAGGAUUCAUGGUGGGGAAACAAAUAGUUGGUGGUACAAAUUGAUAGUGGGGCAUCCCAUAACUUACACUUUAAUGAAAUUUUAGUGGAAAAGGCGGGAUUAGCAAUCUGGAGUACCCUCCAAUGGGAGUGGAGAGACGGUAGAAGGCGAAGGCGUGUGUAAAUCCAUAAAACUUUGGAUGAAAGGGAUCAAAAUGCUAAACGAUUUCUUCCCUCGUUGCUCGUUGGCUUGCAUUGUCAUGGGGAUUCAAUAGUUGGCUUCAUUAGGUUCGAUUCAAGUAAAAUGGAAAACAUAGGGAAUGAAGUUUGAGUAGAGAAGUGAACAUGUAACGUUGAGAGGGAACACGUCAUUAGGGAGAUCCGUGGUCUCAUAAAAAAGUUUAUGGAAAACGAAUAUGGAGGCACACUAUGAAGAAACGAUAGUAUGUUCUAAGGAGAUCGGGGGUAUUGGACGCAUUUGAUGAAGUAUUUCAAAUCCCCAAAGGGUUACCAUCCGAUUGCGGAUGUAAACAUGAAAUUGUAUUGAAGGACUUAAAAGAACCACUAAAUAUCCGUCCGUAUUGAUAUCCUAAUUUCAAAAACAUAAUGUAGAAAGAUUGAAAGAAAAGCUGGUAACAGAGUUGUAAGAGGCGGGAAUGAUUCAGUAUAGAUGGGGGGCUUUCUCAAACCCAUUUUUGCUAGUGAAAAAGAAGGAUGGGGUUGGAGAUUUGCAUCGAUUAUCAUGCUUUAUAUAAAUAGGUUCCCAGUUCAUAUAAUCAAUGCAUCAUGCAUUCAUUAUUUUCCAUUUGUAUAGAGCUAUUAGUCGAUGCAUUUCAUCAAACCUUAUUCCUCCACAGCUGAUGCAAGAGCUGGAACGCAUGUGGUAAAUCAAAUCGCAUGAUUUACCAUUGUUUGAAGCUUCGUGGGAGGAUUUUGAAGCAUUGGAUAUGCAAUUUCCUCAUUUCCACCUUGAGGACAAGGUGAAGGUUUUGGGCAGGGAAUUGAUAAGCAACAAAUACGGUUCACAUAUUCAAGAAAGCGAAAGACUGAAGAGGGGUAGAUCUGUCAUUGUACCACGUCAAAUAGAUGAUAAUUGAGGAGGUGGUGACACUUGGUUUAGGCCUGAAGAGUGCAAGAGAGUGUCAGUUUCAGCCUUUUCAGGUUAGUUAGGAGUGCUGAGAUGUGUGGGUGUGUGUGUGUGUGUACACGGAUUAGAGAGGGGAGUAGGGGACGACCAAUUUUUUUGUAAGAAACUUUUGGUGGGAGAUAGAGAGUUGACAAGUUCUUAGAUACAACUAAUUUCCUUCUUUUAUCCGUUCUUAUUCUUUUAUCCCAAUCCAAAAAGUGUAUCUUCGAUCUGAUUACAAUGUUAUGCACUAAUGAUAAAUACCCCAAUUACCUGGUGCUUAAUCGUAGCAAUACACGAUUUUAAAAUACACAGCAGAUGGACCAAUCCCCAGUCAAAGGAUAGUUUAAACUUUAAAUGCCCCGUCCCCUAUUCGAUUUUCCUUUUUGUAUCCACAUUCCACAACACAUAUAAACAUCAUAAGACUCAUCCCCUCCAAUUACAUACCCUUAUAACAUACAAAUCAGCAUAUUAACUUCACAUAUUCUUUAAUUUAAUCAUCUAACAAUAGGAAUUAAAAACUUCACAACGUUUGACUAAUUUGGGCCAAAAUACGCUUCUCACAUUCCAGAUCGACAUUUUUUAACUCGUUGAUAAUUUAAUUUGUAACUCAUAUAAAAUUCAUUAACACUUCAAUUUCAUUAUCGAUGACUUAAACUUCAUCAAGUUAUCAGCUUGAGGAACGUACCUCAAAUUCUCAGCAAUACCUAGUAGACUCCUUUUCUGCAGUCAACUUAUUGGCAAGCUUAUACGUACUUCAAUUUUCAUAGCGUUCUUCCUCUAGUUUCUUUCAGCGUGGAUCGAUACCUUUCCUCUAGCGUUGACUUCUUUCUCUCAAUUCUCUAGAUCAGUUAUCGAGGGGAUUAAAUUAAUGAGAAAGUAGUUAUAAUUUCCUUUAUGUAUUUACUCAAGUUAUGGAGUUUCAAUAUCUAGUCCCUAGAUUUCUGUAUUCAACGUUCUCGCCUCCAGAACCUUAAAUUUUGAUAAUAUAUCCUUAGAAUUUUGUUUUGCCCUAUCUAUUAUGCUAAUUUGUAAAUUAUUUAUCCUUAUAUAUACACCUCCAAAUUUCAUUAUUUACUCCGGCUCCGAAUUUUAUAAAAACCAGUAUAAUUUGGAACCUUUUUUAUUUAACUAGGAAAAUUUUAUGUUUUAGUUAUCAGUUGAGACUUAAUUUGUUUUAUAUCAAAAUUUUAUUUUUUUUAUAUCGUGCUUGAUGUAAAAUGUAGUUUUGGUUCCUUUUGUUUACCAAAAUUCUAAAUUUUGAUCCCAGUAUUGGCUUUUUUGCUAUUAAUGGUUCAGGAUUUUUGGUAACACUAGCACGGCCGUUCCAAUAACUUUUCCAAGAAUCGUUUGGCAUGAAGCUCGUUUAUGAACAAACAAGGGCGGAGCUUUAUAGGGGCAGGGGGGGCUGAUUUUUUUGUUAUAUAUAGUCCUUUUACUUUAAUUUUGUACAUAUUAUGCCCAAAAAUAUACAAAUUUUGGCCAUGGCCCCCCCUGUUCAUCGAUUUUUAUGCAUAUUAUNAUAUAGUCCUUCUACUUUAAUUUUGUACAUAUUAGGCCCAAAAAUAUACAAAUUUUGGCCAUGCCCCCCUUUUCAUCGAUUUUUAUACAUAUUAUACUUCUGGUCCCCCCAAAUCAAAUGUUGAAGCUCCGCCCCUGCAAAAAACAUUGAACAUGUAUGCACAUAAAAGAAACUUAAAUGAACGAGCAUAAAUGAAAAUAAACGAACAACACAAAUGAACGUUUAUGAAUAUAAUUAAACGAACGUGACCAUUGUUCAUGUUCGUUCGUUUAACUAAACAAACGAUAAUUUAGUUAAACGAACGAACAUGAACAAUUGUCUCGUUCGUUUAAUUAUAUUCAUAAACGUUCAUUUGUGUUGUUCGUUUAUUUUCAUUUAUGCUCGUUCAUUUAAGUUUCUUUAAGGUGCAUACAUGUUCAAUUGUUUUUUAUUACAUUACUCUAUUAUAUGUUUGUUUAUGUUCAUAUAUGUUCAAUUAUGUUUGUUUGGUUAUGUUUGUUUAGUAUGUUCACAAACAUGAACAAGAAAACAUGUUCGUUUGUUCGCCUAACUUAAAUGAACAUGACCAUGAACAAACCCUCAUUUGUAUUUGUUCAAUUCGUUUACAGUACUAAGUACUAAACACCGUUGGUGACCUUUGAGACUAUUACCAGCCGUUAAGCUUAAUUACUAACAUUAUGAAAGGACUAAAAUGCCCUCAAGCUAUAUUAUGGAAGAAGGUAGAUAUUGUUUUCUUCUUCCUAACAUCAUACAUUCACACCUCUCAACACCACCAUAGGGUUUGAUCAUUUCCUUUAUUAUCCACCUCUCUCUUAAGCUCCACUAAAGGCAUGUCGACAUCACCACUAACACGCCAACCUCUUUCGUCGAUAUCAACAACAGUCACUGCUACGCCAUCUCUGACUCAACAUGGUCUUCACCUCACCAAAACCAAACUUGUCGAUCCCAAUCACCUUCUCCAUGUUUUCAAUCGAUCGAUUCAUCAAAUUGAUACUACUCAAACCCUAAAAUCUUUCUUUAUUCUCACUACGCUUCUCUGUAACUCCAGUUAGUCAAGACAUGAUAGUAUUAUGUUGUGGAAAAUGAUUAGAACCAAGGUUCUGAAAGGCAUGAGGUGUGGCGUGGCGGCAAGGCCGAGCUUCAAGCUUAACGAGUUAUGGCGAGCCAUGGCGUUUUUCAAGGCGUCAUGUAAGGCAGCGAGUUUGUAUUAAUUUAUAAUUAUAUUACCAUAUAUAUAUAUAUAUAGAGAGAGAGAGAGAGAGAGAGAGAGAUUUAUAUCAAAUAUAACAAAUUUUUAGAAGUGUUACAUCAACAAAUAAUAACCAAAAGUUAACAAAAACACAAUACUUGUAUGUCCGAUUAGAAAAGGUAUAAAAAAAGAGCAAAAAAAGUGUCUCAAACGAAAAAACAUGCGACAUAACACGAUCUUUGGUGUUGGGCACUUGAUGGCCAUGUAAGAUCAUAAAAUUGGAAACUUUAUGGUCAACGACAUCAUUUUGGACUUAGAUUUUGAAAUUGGACUUAAGGGCUUAAGGAUUAAGCUCUUAAUGAGUGGAUUGGUAGUCAGUUGCGUACGUUGGGCGUACAAGGCGUACGACGUGCGUACACAAUCAACAAGCAUGUGCCUGGUCAACCAUCGAGUACGCUGGACAUACAGAUGAGUACGUUGGGCAUACUCAGUUGGGCUGACUUAGUUGACUUUUUGGAAUUUUGAGUUUUACCUGAAUUUGAACAAGUUUGAUCUAAGGGUAUUUUGGGUAUUUUGUAUUGUGUUUAAGAAUUGGUCAUUCGGAUGGAUAGGUGACCUAUAGAGGGGUGUUCUCAACCAACCUUGGGCUUUGACUUUUGUUGACUCCGUUGACCGCCGACUUUUGACCAAGUUUGACUUUAGGUCAAACUUGAGGGUUUUAACUGGUGAAUAAGAUUUUAUAUGGUUCUGAUGUUAGUGGAUAUGCGGGAGCAAGUAGUGUAUCAGGGAGCGUAUCACAAUGUUCUCGGGUUCCUUCAUUUUAGGUGAGUUUCAUCUCAUUGUACCGUAGGUCGAAGGCACCAAUGUCAGCCCACUAGUUCUGGUUAUAUGUUAAUAGAAGGAUGCCUUACGGACUGUAUAUAGUCAUGUAGGAUAGACUGAGGACUCUUGGUCUAGGCUCUCUCACAUGUUCCUUGUUUCGUUGUGGUUCUAGAGUAGGACCACAUGUCCGGGUGGCUAUCUUACCUCUGAGUAUAUAUCGUUAUCCAUUCUUGGUGCGGUAAUAUUUAGUAUGUUGCUAUGUUGUAGUGACCUGCUAGAUCUGUAUCCUUGUAUCGAGUAUGUUACUAUACUGUAGUGAUCUGUUAGAUCUAUAUCUUGGUGUGUAGGAUGUUGUUAUGUUGUAGUGAUAUGUUAGAUCUGUAUCCUAGUAUGUAGGAUGUUCCUAUGCUGAAGUGAUCUGUUAAAUUGGUAUCCUGGUAUGUAAGAUGCUGCUAUGCUAUAGUGAUCUGUUAGAUCUGUAUCCUGAUAUAUAUGAUGUUGUUAUGCUGAAGUGAUCUGCUCGUUUGCUAUGCUAAAAGACUAUUAUUUAAAUAGGAAAAAAUUGUGAGCUAGGGGUUGGGGGUGUAUUUAUUUAAGUAAAUAAAAAAAUCAAGGGCAAAAUAGUCUUUUUAGGUAAGACAUGGAUCAAACAUGUAAAAAAACAAACAGUAGGGACCUUUCGAGCUACAAAACAAGUUAGGGACCAAACACGCAAAUUACCCUAAACCAUAGGGACCAUUGGUGUAAUUUACUCUAAAAUUAAUUUUCGGUGAUUUUCGAUUCGAUCUUCAACGAUAGAUGAUUUUAGUAGCUUGAGACAUUCUAAAAGUAAUUAUGAAUAUGAUAUCUUUAAUAUACAUUAUAAACAUAAGAUUACACAUAAUUGGUCCUUAAUACAUAGCGGUUCGUGGUGGUUUGACCAUCGAACACUGACUAAUUUUUACCAAUUGUUACAACAGCUGUCACACAGUGGCAACCCUUGCCCACGUCGUGGCGGUCCAAUAAAAUAUAUGUGCUUUUAUUUAAUCCCACGCUGUGGGCAUCCCUGCACCAUGUCGUGCCACAGGUUUUCCCCCAAAACUCCAUCUUUACCUCCUAAAAAUAUAAAGCUAAACUAGUCUUGAACACAGGUGUUAUAAAGGUCAUGAUUUCUGAUCAAUAUACUUACACAACACUCAUAGAUGGGCUAUCCAAAGCAAAGAGAUUGGAAGAUUCAAAUAUGGUUUUAGAAGAUAUGUAUAUUACUUUUUUUGUGGCAGAUUUUUGUGAUGAUUAGGAAAUUUGUGAGGUAGUGCUGGUUGUGAUCGUGGCAAAAAGAGCAAUACGGUGGUGGUGUAUGUCUACAUGAUGGGGAUUUGGAGACCCUAAAAGCGUUUCAGGUAGCUUCUAUUUAAAUAAUCAAUGAACCAGAUAACUGUCUUAUUUGAACUAAUAUUAUUUUAUGUUCAAAACAUGGUUUCUACAUGUCUCCUACUCAACUAUAAAUAGAACCUUAUACUUUGGAAUUUUCAAGUACUCUUUUUUAGAUACUAGAUCCAAAAAUUGAUCCUCUCUCGCCUCUCUCUUAAUUUUCUAUGGUUCUUGUGUUGUGGGUGUGAACCAUUAGAGGCUCGCACACAAAUAGAGCUUGUUUUCAAAGAUAAUUCUAGAUUGCUUUGUUGGAAUCAAAGAUUUGUUUACAAUAACAAAUAAAAGGUAUGCAAUUUUGUGAAUUUUGCUUUCAAUUAGGGUUUAGAAGAUUUGAUGUUCAAUAAUAUGUUGCUUAAAUAGUGUUAUGACAUAGAUCAAAGUAGGUUGCACGUACCCUUAAGAAUAUAAUGAUUUUUUCGUAUUAUUACAUGUAAAACCUAUCAAUAUCUUAUAUAAGUUAACAAUGACAAAAGUAUGAUUGAAGUCACCAGAUACAUUCCUCGUUUGAUAUGGUCCUAAAACAUAAGAUUUCAUGAAUAUAGCAUAUAAUAUCCUAAAAGGAAAUCUAUUAUAACUUUUCAGAUGGUAAAAGUAAUAUGAUUAUUUGUUACAUGUUUUUUAUUCAUUUGGUGAUGAUAUUACUAGCUUAUAAAAAAAUCUAUUAUCACAAUGUUUUUUCAAUCUUAUUCAUACAAUAAGGAACAAUGCCCAAAUUAUUCAUAAAUAAAUUUCAUUAAAGUAUAUUUCUGGUAUACCCGAAAAUACCCAACCCGAAUCAUCAACCCGGAUACCCGAACUAUAAGACCCGAAUUGUAAAUAGUUCAUGUUUCGGUUCAUAUUAUUUUAUGAAAAAACUCAAAUUACCCGAAGCUCGAAAAUUACCCAAUCAAUAGACCUAAUUAGCAAUAGUGAUUAGUAGUAGAUAAUAAGCAAUAAAGAAAGGAUAAAACAAGGGAAAAUUAGUCCUAUGCUAAAAGCAUAACAUCUAAACUGUUAGAUUUAACAAUGCAGGGACCACCGGAGGUAACAAAACCCUCCAUACGGAUCACUAAUUCACCCAUGACAAAAAGCGAAUAGUAGGACCAAAAGCGCUAUUUUGGCAAAACUAUAAGGACCAAAAAUGUGUUUUACUCUAAAAUGAAUUAAAUAUAUAUUAAAUAACGGAAAUAUGACCAGAUCUCGUAAAAACGAGGAAGUUCGAGUAAAACGAAAGAUGGAAGAAGGAGAAUUCAUGAAGUAAAUCAGUGAAUUGAAAAUCAUAGUACAGUCGAUUUAAGUACAUGACUUGUAAUAUUGAGGAGAAAUCAUUCUGGGUUGAACUGGGAGCCGAUUUAUUAGUCGAGGUACGUUGAUUAUAUAUGUAAAGUUUGCUUAAGUUGUGUUAAAUUAAUGGUUGUAAGAUGAUUAGUUGUUGGGAUGUAAGCUAAAUCAAGACAUAGAACUAACUUAGAAGAAAGUUAAGUUGAGAUUGUGUUUCCUGACCUAAUUUUGUCAAUUUCUCGAUUAAAAUGGGUAAUGGUGAUUUGAGUGAAUUAGGCAAUGUUAAGUAAUGAAAUUGAGAAUAUUAUAUAUUAUGCUAAAACUAUGGGAUGAUGUCAACUUAAAUAAAAAAGAACAUUCUCAUUUUGUAGGUUUUUUUUAUCAUUAUAUUAAUGUUGGUUGAACCCACAGAGCAUGAAAAAGAUUUUAUGUAUUCAUUACCUCUUGUGUUAUGAUGCUUUCCUUGUUUCUUUAAUUUUACUUUUUUCUUGCAGGGUAACCCCUUUUUAAUUUUAUUAUGUGUUUUGAGGGUUUUAUUGUAUAUAUAGAUAAGGACUAACCUUGCCCUUUACUUUAUUUGAUUUGUUUCUUUAGGUCAUUGAAGAUGCAUCAUAUAUUAUACUCAUAACCAUGUUACAGGUCAGUUUUUUCUAACUCGAGUGGGUGAGUUUUUCUAUGUGAACCUUGUAAUAGUUGAAAAACACCAUGUCUUGUAUACACCACACUUUAAUAAAAUAAUCAAAUAAACAAACCGAAUGUUUCCUGUAAUUUAGGGAACCCAAGUGUCAAAGAUAUAACAUAAACUUUGGGGGCUACUUUGUGGACUUUAAGAAUCAUAUGUGAGGUAACAUAUUCACAAGUUCAUGUAUCAUUUAAUGUAGUUUUUUAAAUUCACAAGUUCCUGUAUCAUUCCUGACUUUAAUACAUAAAAAUAACAAUAUAGUUUUAAAAUAAUGUGAUUCAGGAGAUUGUAAGUAUUAGAUUACACUUUGAAUAAGUUUUAAAAUUAAAAAAAAAUAUAUUUUAGGUAUUUCUGUAAAUCAUUAAAUUUCAAAAUCAAGUUUAUAAUCUUUAAUUAUGACAAGUCUUAAAACCAUCAUAUAUAUUGUUUUUGUGGGCAAAUGCAUUUACGUGUGACAUGGGGAAUUGAUUUAGCCAAAAAUCACUUUCUUUGAUUGAGAGAAUUAAAAAGAAAAAUAGCCCAUGACCAAAUCAAUACAAUUUUGUGGAUACAAAUCAACAAUUGAUUUCCAUGUCUUAUUUUGGUCAAUGGAAAAGUAAAUAUAGAUAGACUAUAAGCAUGCAGUCUUGUCUUGUGGAAACAAAUUUUCAAUUGACUUCCAAGUCUCCCAUCACAAUAACUUGUUUCAUCACAUCACAUGCAUGGGCAACUUAGUCAUCAUAUUUGUAACUUGUAAAUUUUUGGUUAUAAGUUAGUUUUUUUUUUUUUUAAUUUUUUUUUUCAUAUACACUCCACAAAAUGCAAUGUCAAGUCUUGUACCCUUCUCCAGCAUACUGUUAGGAACAAGCUAAAAAAUCAAAAAUUAAAAUACGUUUCCUUUCCUUGACACAUUAACAUUGUUACAUCAAAUAAUACUAAAAACAACUUGUUCUGUUGUAUCUAGUUUUUUAAUCGUUGAAACCAAAAAUCAUUUUUAUAAUAUAGAACAAUAAUUUACAAAAAUUUAUAAUCUAUCUUUGAUUUCUCAAACACAUAAAUGCUUGUUUGUCAAUAUAUAUUGUGCUUUUUUCAAUUCAUAAAUUGUUAAAGACUUGUGACCAAGUUAUUACGUGUGCUAUGGGGAAUAAACUUGAACCAAAACCACUUAUUUUGAUUAACAGAAAAUUAAAAGUGAACCUGGACCAAAAGAAUACAAGUUUUUAAAUUCACAAGUUUGUGUAUUUUAAUUUAUAAAAAUAAUAAUAUAGUUUUUUAUAAAUAAUGUGAUUCAAGAGAUUGGAAGUAUUAGCUCAUGACCAAAAAAUACAAUUUUGUGGAUACAAAUUAAACAUUGAUUUCCAUGCCUAUUUUGGGGAAAAGUAGAUAUAGAAAAAGACCAAAAGCAUGUGGAUAAACUUGUUUCAUCACAUUUUUUAGAACACUUGAAUACUGUAGUAGUGAAUGAUAUACUGCUUAGUUUGCAACUUGUAAUUUUGUUGUGAUAAAUUAAAGUUAUUAUUUUCAUAUAAUAACAUAAGACAAAUAAAGAAACUGAAUAUUCCAUGUGAUUUAGGGAGGCCAAGUUCUGAUACAAGUAAUGUCAAAAAUAAUAAUAAAACUAAAUGGACCUCAUGUGUAUCAUAAAUGUGAACAUAUUGAUUAGUAAUCUUGAACACUGUUUUUAUUUAGACUUUAUAAUAAUAUCAAAAUAAUAACAUGAUUUCUAAAUAAUGUGAUUAGAAGCUUGUAAGCAUUAGACUUCCACUCAUUUGACCUGCUCAACCCAUCUAGCAGUUUCAUAUUUAGCUGCGAUUUUAAAUUCCCAGUUUAUAAUUGUAACCAUCACUUAAAAAUAUUUAUUAUGUAUCUAUGAUUUAUCAAAAUGGAGAUGCUUGUUUGUCAAAUACUGCGUUUUAUUCAAUUCAUAUUUUGUUAAAAAUUUGUGGCGAAAUAGAAUUCCAUGUGCUGUGUGGAAUAGUCUUGUCCCACAAACCACUUUUUUUGAUUGACAGACAAAAAAAAAAGCAUAAGAAUAUAAGGUUGUGGAUACAAAUUCUCCUUUGACUUCCAAGUCUUCCAAUAUUCAUUUAUGGCUUUAUAAAUGUACUCGUUGCUUCGUCAUAAUAACCCAUCACUUCUUCAUCACAACCCAUCUUUCUACUUCAACUUUCUUCUAAACUAAAACUGAGUUAAGGUUGAUAAUGGGGAUCCAUCUCAUUUUCAUAUGUGUGUUUUUGUUUGCAGCCACAUAUACUUGUUUGGGGGUUGGAAAUGUUAGUGUCCUUUGCUCUGAGCAAGAGCGACUUGCUCUUCUCAACUUCAAACACAGUAUCCAAGAUCCUUUUGAAAUGUUGUCAUCAUGGGUUGGAAAUGAGUGUUGCCUGUGGGAAGGAAUCCAGUGUGACGGUGUCACUGGAAAUGUUCAAGGCCUUCAUCUCAAAGGAGAUUGGCCCUACUCCUACAAUUACUUAGCUGGUAACAAGGUGAGUUCUUCUUUGGCAGAGUUGAGGCAUCUCAAAUACCUCGACUUGAGUGGGAAUGAUUUCCAAGGAAGUCAGAUCCCUGAGUUUAUUGUAUCCUUGAAACACCUGAGUUACCUGAAUCUUUCUUAUGCUAAUUUUGAUGGUAUUAUUCCUCCUCACAUUGGAAAUCUUUCUAAUUUAAGGGUUCUUGAUCUCAGUUCAUACGAUUCUGAAAACUUUCUGAAGGCAGAUGAUAUGGCAUGGGCUUUUGGCCUUUCGUCACUCGAGCUUCUCAACUUGAGUUAUGUGGAUCUUAGUGGAGCACAAAACUGGGACAUGAUGCUUCACAUGAUUCCCUCCUUAAAAGAGUUAAGUUUGUCACAUUGUAGACUUUCCAAUGUUAAUCUUGGUCCUUUUCUUAAUUCCAGUAGAAUACUUCCUAAUAUAAAACACCUCGAUCUUGGCUACAAUUCUUUCAAAGGUCCACUCCCUGGCCUUCUUCAAAACAUGACAUCCCUAACAUUCCUCAGUCUUUCUGCAUUUAAUCAUAGUUUGACAUGGAACUUUCCAAACCUACUAAGCAUGAUCCCUUUUUUGUCAGAGCUUCAUUUGUCAGGUUGUGGGCUGGAUAAGACGCAUCUAUCUUCUCCACAUCUUAAUUACAGUACACUUUCUAACAUCCAGCACCUCGAUCUUAGCAAUAAUCCACUUGGAGGUAUAUUUCCAUCNUGUUGAUCUUGAAUAUACAACAACUUGGAGAAUGGUUUAUAACAUGGACCUUUCAAGCAAUAAACUUGAGGGAGAAAUACCGGUCGAGCUAACUACACUUUCUAUGUUGGUGGGUCUGAAUCUGUCUAAUAAUCAUCUGAGAGGGGGUAUUCCAGAGAGCAUUGGAAAGAUGAAGAAGUUGGAAACUCUUGAUUUCUCAAAAAACAAGUUGAGCGGGAGCAUCCCUCCAAGCAUGGCAGCUUUGACUUUUUUGAGCCAUUUGAAUUUGUCACACAACAACUUGUCGGGACAAAUUCCAACAGGAAAUCAACUGCAGACGCUUAUUGAUGAUCCAUCAAUAUAUGCUGGGAACAAACAUCUAUGUGGACCUCCAUUGCAAAACACUUGCUCAAAUCAUCAAGAUCCAACAACAACAACAAGCAAGAAGAAACACAAAGCAGCUGAUGAGAAGAUGGAGGUAUGGUUGUUUUAUGUGGAUAUAAUGAGUGGUUUUGGAACAGGGUUUUGGGGUGUUAUUGGAGUUCUGAUGUUCAAGAAGCAGUGGAGACACAAACUUUUCAUGUUUGCUGAGGAAACCAUGGAUAAGAUAUACGUUGCAGUUGUGGUAAGAGUUGCCAAGUUCAAGAGAGGAAGAGAAUAGCUGCAUAGAUCAUGUGGAAUGCAAGUAGUUCUUGAAUGCAUGUUAUCAGUGAUAGUUUUGCUUUUGAGAUAUGCUUAUUCUAAUGUAUUACUAUUUGGAUUUUGUAUUUGUAUGGCCUUUGUGAUAUCAGUGUUGUUUAGAGGUGCUAAUUUACAAAAUUUCUUUUGGAUUUGGUAUUUAUACAUGAUCAAGUUGUAGAUUUAGAUUACUAUGUAUUUGAGUUGUAGAUUUUUUUUUCUUUUUAAUUCUCGACCUUCUGCUGCUGCUCUCACUCCCAACAUGCUGUUGCAUCCCUCGGUUUUCA
This 59336-nucleotide long non-coding RNA is filed under the name Lactuca sativa (garden lettuce). RNAcentral's name for it is "long non-coding RNA (LSAT_LNC008117)". Lineage: Eukaryota; Viridiplantae; Streptophyta; Magnoliopsida; Asterales; Asteraceae. The record is from RNAcentral.